CUUUAGUGGAUCGACUCUAUUACAUAAGUUAAUUUCUAAUUCUUAUCUCACAUUAUGAGAUAAGUACGCAGUUAUUAUUGUAUCGGCCCAAAACCUCGCUAAUUGAUCUUUACGGUGCUUCCUCUCUCUCUAUCAAUUAAAGCCUUAUAUCCAUAGAAAAAGUUGCUAGGCAUUUUUAUUUUUUCCUAUUUUGACUUCUAUGAAGUUUCUUUCUUUGCUACAGCUGAUAAAAAUCGUUGUUUUAGACGAUGCAUAUGUAGAAAGCCUAUUUGGUUCUAGUAGUUACUUUACUAGAUUUUUCUUUUUUUUCUUUCUAUAGUGGAGAUAGUCGCACGUAAUGACAGAUCACGGCCAUAUUAUUAAAAGCUUGUGGUAAGAAUGGGUUUCGUUCUAGUGCUCGAAAAUAAUAUUCCAAAGCUUUCGUAUGUUCUCCAUUACUUGUGUGGAUAAGCCCUAUAUUAUAGAGUAUAUAACUUCGAUCAUAGGGAUCAAUUUCUAGUCGCAUAGCUUCAUAAUAAUUCUGCAAAGCUUCCGCGUAAUUUUCUUCGGAUUGAGCCGACAUCCGUUACGGUCGUCAUUCAAUUGAAAGAAUCUCCGUUCCAGAACCGUACGUGAGAAUUUCACCUCAUAUGGCUCCUCCCUUAUGUGCAAAAUAGGAUGUUUUCCAUCUCAAGUCCGAGACAUGGUUCUAUCAACUAAUUAAUAUUUUAUUAAGUGAUUCGUCGCCAUCCAACCUAUUAGGAAUAUGUUGACUCACAAAAGAGUCUCACCUUUUAAUAGAUUAAAACGACAAAAUAAACCAUAUAGAUCAUAAUAAUUAUAUCAAGAUUAAGAGUAUAAGUACAUGUAAUGGACUAGAGAAAUCGUUUAUUAAUAUUCAAAACAUAAACGAACGUCUCUAAUUGGUCCGUUCAAUACAUACGAAAUGUACUAGUACAAGAAGUUGGAAUAUUAUCAUUCCCAUAACCAAGAUCAAAUUAUAUUUAAUCUUGUGCUACAAUCAUCAAGAUGUUUGUCCUACCUCAUCUUUGAUUGUGAACCAAAGGUGUCAAAUGGGCCGGCCCAUUUAGGAAACUAGCCCGGUUUGACCGGGCUCGGUUAGCCCCGAGGCAGUAGGGUACCGAGUUCUGAACUGGGCUAAUUUUAUUAUUGGGCCCGGUUAACCCGGCCCGGAGCAAAACCGGUCCAGGCACACUGGUUAACCUGUCCGGCUCGAAUUAUUAUUAUUUUUUUAAAAUGGAAUUUUUGACCGUUAGACCAAAGUAGUCGUUGGGCCCAACGUUUAUAUGGCCGUUUGGACACAAAAACGGCUAUUUUGGCCUUUUUAAUUAAAAAAAAAGUUUUUCCAUUUAAAAUAUUUUUUUAAAACCAAAAAUAAAUCCUAUAAAUACCCUACACUUUCAAAUUAUUUUUCAUACAAUUUUCAAUCUCUCAAAUCUCAUUCUCUCUCAAAUCUCAAUUCUCAAAUAUUCUAUAUAUUUCCUAAAGUUCUCAAUUUAAUUUUUUAAUUUUGCGAUUACAAAGUACGAGUGAAAGUUUCUAAGGUCGCAACUUUCAGAUACUUUUAAAAUUUGGUAUUGUCGUUCCAUCUCUUACUUUUAAUUUUUAAUUAGUGUAUUAAUUGUUGAAUAUUUAAUUUUAUUAUUUUUGUGUAUUUUAAAUGAUAACACCCUGUAUUUCGGAGCAAAGGUUUGAGCUACUAAACGUAUGUAGGGAAUGCAUGGGGACCACUAAAUUACCUCAGAACAUUUCAGGUAAAGUGUAAAGUGUUUAAUUAAUAUAAUUACUAAUCGGUAAAGCGUAAACAUUCUGCGGUGAAUUAACUACAGUAAAAUGUUUUCUUAAUAUAUCCCUAACUGUUGUACAUUUACCUGUAGAUAUGCAUAUAUGUACUAAGUAAUAUAUGUACUAAGUCAACUAGGUAGUAAGGUAUUUAGAAUUGUUUUUUUCAUAGGAAGUUUGGGAAGUUUGAUACGGGAAAAACAACGGAAACACGAAACAACUCCAAAACAGUCCACUAAUCUUAAGGAUUUGAGGACUAAGAUGUAGACCACUCUCGGAUUCACUACAACAACAACAAUACGAGAUAACAACGGUGCAUUUGACACCAAAAACAGCAGCAACACAAUGAUAACAAGAUGAACACAAUGAGAAUAAAUUUCGGAUACAAGAAGAACACAAAACUGUCCACUAUGAAUCUACAAAGUGCAAUAAGAUAAAGAUAGAUAGAUAGACCAAAUGAGGGAAUAAUAUUAACAACCCAAGAAUUGUUACACCCUUGGACCUUUAAUACUACACACAACACUAACCUAUCUCCUACAUAGGCACAAGAGGGAUCUCGAUCUUCCAAGGACCAACGUUUCCAAGCUUGAAUCCAACACGACUGAUUACACACUCAAGUUGAUUUCCCUAGUUACAAUUUUAGAUUUGUGCCUCAAGGAGAGAGGACUUGUCUUUCAUUGUUAUACGACAUUCAUCAUCAUCAAAAUCUGAUGAAUGAAUCCCUAGAAGGUUGUAUUUAUAGUGUAUUACAAGAAUAGUAUGAAAUGUCCCAAAUGACCCCUUAGUCAAAGUCUUCAAGUGCGCUCCCUUGGAGUGCAUUGCAUGGACCGAUUUGGGAGCCUGGUUAGGCCUUCCUUUGCACUUCACUGUAUACUCUAAGUCUCAGGUUCAUUCACUCUCGCACUCACCCACCUCCAUGGCCGUACCCAUAUCAUCCUUUCCUUCUUGAAAAGGAUUCGACCUCGAAUCCGUACUUUGUAAAAUCAAGAUAAGACAAACAAACACACGUCCUCAUGACAUGAGAGGUUAGGGUUAGCAAAAAUAACAAAUCACAUGCCAUGCCAAGGUGGGACAAACUUGGAGUAUACCCAUAGGUCCUUUGUGUUGAACAUAAAAACCUUGGUAUAAAUAGCACAAAGGAAGAGGUCAUCAUCAACAAAAAGAGACAAGGAAGAACCUUGUCUUCCUUUAUUAGCAUCCACAAUCAAACGUUGCUUGUCGUCUUGACCAAGCAUCAAGUAGGAAGUGUAGAAAUUCCCAUAUUCUCGGAAGGUGUCAGGGUCAAAUAGGAGAAGUAGCCAAGGGUCUAAGCCGAGGUUAGCCCUUUCUUCCCCUAGAAUGUCACUCCCACAACCACGUAUGACAUUUGCCUUUAAGAGAAGACUAACAUUCAAGAAUAGAGAGACACGGCCUAGAAGUCCUACCUCAAAAAGACAUAUGUCAUCAUUUACAACAUUUCUAUACACAUGAUUUCUAUGAACAAAACUACUAGCAAGGCUUUUACCACACAAGAUGUUCAAAGAGUCACGUGUACCAUCAAGAUCAACUCUAUAAACACCAUCACUAACUUGAGAUUUUUUAAGCACGCCACACUUAUACUCAAGUAGUAGAAUACAUUCAUGAGUAAUUUGAUCUUCAUUCACAUCCUCACUAGUUGUUGGCAACUCACAUACCAACGUAGAAUCACCUUAGUUCGCACAAGGGUCAACUAGUGUGUGAGUACUCUUGUCAAUUGGUAAUAGAACCUUGUUCAAGUUAUAAGGGCUAGCACUAGAUAGACAUAAAUCAAUCUUACAAAACCAAUCAAUUUCAUUAUCUAAAGGAUCAACUAGUGCUUGCGUACUUACAACAAGAGUUUAGUCCUCACGCAACCUAACAUCACCAAGAGUAUCACCAUAGGGAGACUCAAAUACCUCUACUCUAGGUAAAUUCGUAACUACAUCCAAUUGGCCACUACUAGCCACAACACAACAUUCUAAGUUCAUAGGAGUGUAAGGAAUAGUAUUUUUUACCUCGUAGCUCACAUGAGCUACGACCUUCCUCUUGACGUGUGUCCAGGCAGCCCACUUGCUCCCUUUGACCUAUCAUACGAUCCAACCUUUCAUUUGCCAUAACUAGGCAUCGGGACAUAGUGUCAAGGUAGGCUAAAAUGACAUAGGUGGCAUUGUUAUCCAUGGGUUGAGAGGUGGAAGCCACGAAUUUCCUUGUAAUUGUACCUAAAAAAAUAAAGAAAAGAACACCUACAAAAUAAAACACAAGUUAGUUCGAAACAACCUCACCACACUCUCGCACAAUUGAUCGUGUCACACUUGGUUUCACAAGUGUUGAAAGCCGUUUUGUACUUUGCGAGUGAUUGAGGGUCGAGUCUACUCUUGGCCGGAAUAGAUUUUUGUUUGAGUUGACUCAAGCAAAAUUUGUUACGGACUUGAACCAACAAGAUACAACGAUUUCACAAAAGAGAAAAGCACACAACAAAUGCGUAACACGAAUGAACGAACACAAAAAACUAACUAACAAUCUAGUAGAUAAGUACUAGUUUGCCAAUUAGUAUUGGAACCAACGAAAUUGAAACUAAGAAACAACAAAUAGAAACUAAGAAAUCUAAAAUUUGAACUUAAAUAUGUUGCAUGAACAGUAAAACAUGAUGAUGUGGGAGCCACAUACUGGUCUCGGUUGCACACAACUUUUGUUGUCCAAUUUCAAGUCUUGGUCAAUUUUUUAAUUUGAACUUUAGUGGAACUUGUUCAAUGGAGGGAAACACAAAGUAGUCUUUAGAGCUUUUUUUUCAAUUAAAAUUUCAAGACUCAGUCUUGGACUAGACUUGUUCUCCUCCUUAAAACAUGGAUCCUUGUUUUAUGGGAAAGUGGUUGAGAUGUGAUUGACUUGUUGGUGAGUGAUGGUAAGUCUUUCAAGACUAACAAAGUUCUCACACUUUUUCCUUCACCUUUUUGGAUCUAACUUUCACUUUAUUUUAACAAGGUAUGAAGGUUUGGAAGAACACUUCAACAAUCACCAAGAAAAUCAACAACAAUCUCCUAAGAACAAUAACAAGGUCAACUACAAACUUCCAACAAACGGCUAAGUCCUUUAGUGUGGUGUUUUGGUAUUAACAAGGGGUGAAGAUUGUGAUGAACAUUAAGAAUACAACAACUUUUUAAGAAUAGUAACAACACCAACAAUGUCCAGCCCAAGUCCACAAGAAAGGUCACCACACGACCAAGAACAACAACAUCAAUACACGACCAUUAACUUGUCACAACAACAAUCUCAACAAUUCAAGCUCAACUCAAGAUAUAGACUCAAUGUGUUAGUGAUGAAAAAAACUAACACUUAGAGACAACAAAGACAAGUAAAAAUCUCGGCCAAGACACAACAAAAACAUAAUUUUCGGCCAAGAACACAAAAUAGACAGAGUGCUCUCUUUCAUGGAUUUUUCAGUUUUCAACUAUUUUUUUGUAGUUUUCAAGUCUCAAGCCCAAGAUUGAUCUUGUUAGAACAAAAUCAACGAUGGCUUUGAUACCAAAUGAUACGGAAAAAACAACGGAAACAUGAAACAACUCAAAAACAGUCCACUAAUCUUAAGGAUUUAAGGACUAAGAUGUAGACCACUCUUGGAUUCACUACAACAACAACAAUACAGAUAACAAUGGUGCAUUUGACACCAAAAACAGCAGCAACACGAGUGAUUCCAUACUCAAGUUGAUUUCCCUAGUUACAAUUUCAGAUUUGUGCCUCAAGGAGAGAGGACUUGUCUUUUAAUGUUAUACGACAUUCAUCAUCAUCAAAAUCUGAUGAAUGAAUCCCUAGAAGGUUGUAUUUAUAGUGUAUUACAAGAAUAGUGUGAAAUGUCCAAAAUGACCCCUUAGUCAAAGUCUUCGAGUGGGAUCCCUUGGAGUGCAUUGUAUGGACUGAUUUUGGAGCCUAGUUGGUCACUUGAAUACUACUCCCUCCAUUUCAUAAUAAAUGAAUUGUUGAAUUUUGGCACACAUAUUAAGAAAAAAGCAUUAAUGACAUAAAUUUAACCCAACUUUCUAUUUUUACCCCAAAAAAAAGAAAAAGUUGACUUUGUAAUACCUUUUCAAAAGUUAAUUGGUUGUCAAAUCAUAAGGGCAAAUUUGAAAAAAAAAUUCAAUGAUUCUUUUAUUUUGAAACACCAAUAAAUACCCCAACAAUUCACUUAUUCCGAAAUGGAGGGAGUACUAAAAUAAAUCAUAUUAGUUGAAAAGUUUCCACCGCCUCAAAACCCUUAGUCAGCAACUUUAUCCACUUCAUUAUGUUAAUCCCUUGGAUGAAAAAUAAUUCUUAAGUCCAACUCCUAGGUAGCUGCCAAGGAUUUAAGUUUAUUUAACCCACCGCUUAAUGGAUUUGGCCCUAACACAAUGCAAAUAAAUCAUUUCAUACUCUCUAUAUACGUUAAGAAUCUUCUUAUAUUAAAUUCAUCCCAUAUCUAGGGAAUUUUUACUUUCUAAGUGACUUACUCAUCCAAGUACUUUUGAGCUCAGGAAGAAAUUAGGAUUCCUUGGGGAUUGUUCGAAACUCAUGGGGUUACUCUUAUUAGGGAAGAUCCAAGAAGACGGUCACCAGAAGGGCAUCGACGAUGUUACAUAUGAGAAAAAAUAAAAAAUUAAGGUAUGUAGAGCUAAAACCUUCUUCUCUAUAAAGGCACAAUGCUAGCUUACCCGUUUCUCCUAGAAGAGUUAACACAUGUUAUUUGUCAUGUAAGUAGAGCCUUUCUUAGUAAACGUCAAAUUUGGGCCUAUAUGUCUUCCCUAACCAAUUAUCUACACUCGUUCCUCACUCAAAACUACUCGUUCUCAUAGUUCACAUGUCUACUCGUUGAGGUCAUAGUAUUUAUAUUACCCUUUCUCAUCGGGUAUCUAUAAUGUUUUAUGUAAAAAAGACAUAUUACAUAGUUAUAGUAUAAAACAAAAGAGCUAACACUUGAAUUGGUGGAUAUUAUGGUCAAAGAAAUUAGUUGCUAAAAGGAUACUGCUACUUGAGUGCCUAAACAAUAUUUACUGUAAUAUAAUUGCAUAGGCCUAUAAGACACUAUUUGAUGAAGUUAAUGAUGGGAGGGUACAUAGGUUUGGCUUGGCAUAUCGCUCGACGUGAUUCUGCGUACAAGAUCGAGACCAGACCAUUAUAGUGAGCCCAAACAUUGUAGGGUACCCGCCCUUGGGGCAUCAUUUGUAUUUGGAGUCAGCUGGAAUGCCAUGUCUUGAUUUCCCCUGACUCGAGCCAACAUAUGGAAUAUAUGGCCUGCGGGCAGACCCUCAUAGUGAGCUCCUAGACGGGGUGUACCUGGAUACAGGCUGCGAUUACAGUUAUACAUAUGGGAUCAUAAAAAUGAGUAUGUGAGCAACAUAUGUUUUAUGCUUGCCUUAGAUUGCCUUCGGUAGGCCAUCAUGUGGUCAUUUGUAAUAGAGGUAGUUAUAAGACAUCACCUAGGAAAAUUACUAGGCAUUUCAUAAGAAUUACUAACUCGUAAGACAUUAUACGAUAGGUUAAUAAGACAAAUGCAUAGGUUUUAGUUCAUAUGAUGUACCUAUCAUUUGUAUGCUCAUAAGUUGUAGUUUAAGACUAGUGUUUCUAGUACUCAGUUGUCUAUACUUGCUCAUGUUGUUUUGAUUUAUUGAGCAUCCUUGUAUGUCUACUUGUUAUUCUGUCUGCUUUAUAUACUAGUACAUGUUGUAUAUGUACUAACAUCCCUAAAUCUGGGGGCACUAUAUUUUACAAAGCAGGGUCGAGUAUACAAGUUGGCCGACCUUCAUAUUAGGUAGUUGCAAUGUAUUCAGCGAAGCAGUCAGUAAGCUCCAUUCUUAUCAAGAGAUGAGAUCUCAUAGUACUCUUGGUCGUACUUCUGAUUAUAGUUUGGGUAUGUUGGGGACCUAUGUAACGCCCUGAAGUUUUUCUUAGCUAAAUUUUGUCCCUAAAAUAUCAAGCAUUGGCUUCUAGAAUGAUUUAUACCUUUUCUCGGUGGAAUCCCUAGAUUUUAACUUUUCAUGUCGUAGAUGAUUGAAUAAAUUUUCCGUCGACAUAAGAUGCAUCCAAAACAGACACUUGGUGAAGGAGUUAUGGUUAAUUUAAGUUCUAGUCGUAAAACACCGUCAUUCCUGUCCUUGGCGCAUCGUGAGGAGGGUGUAAAUGAUGAUGGUCAAUUUUUAGUGGGACUCCGUAAUGAUGGCGCAUCGCUGAGUGGGCCAAAUUCCCAUUCGUCAAUUUCCAAUGACCCACCGCGAUAGUGGCACGUCGCGGUGGCCCAUGAAAUCAGACUUCCAGUUAUAUUUUAAUAGCGCUCUCAUUAAGGGUAAAAUGAGUGUUCAGGAGUAUACUUUAAAGUUUAGUCAGCUGGCCCGUUAUGCUCCUGAGAUGACGAGUAGUAUGAGGGCCUGAAUGAGGAAGUUUGCUUCCGGUCUUUCAGAUAAUCUGGUGCUUGAGUGUCAGGGAGCUAUGCUGAAUAGGGAUAUGGACUUUGCUAGACUGUCAGUCCACAUACAGCAAGUUGAGGAGAAGAAGAAGAAGAAAGCCAAAUCUAAGAAAAAGGACAUGCAAGCAAAGAGAGCCAGAGCGACAAACCAGAGUCAUGAUCUGCAGCAGAGCGAUAAUUGGGGCAGAAAAUGGCAAAAGAAAAAGAAUUGGGGUAAUGCACAGUCGGCAGCUAGUGCUCCAGUGUCCAGACCCACAGCUGAGCAGCGCACCCAGAAUUUUUAGUCUAGUCAGGGGUCGAGGAUGCAAUGUACGCAAUCGCAGAGAAGUGAAGCCCAGACCUCUCGGUCCUAUCUGCGCUGUGGAAGAUGCAGGAAGAAUCAUCCAGAGAGAUGUCACUUUGGCGCUUUGGUGUGUUAUUCAUGUGGCCAGCUAGGUCAUAUCUAGAGAGACUGUCCGGCAGCAAAAAAAAAUGUUGGAGGAGCCAAGUCGCAGGCGAAUUCAUAUACACCACCACCUCAGAAAGAUGCCACUUCAGCCGCCAAAAAUGGUCAGAACCGGUUGUAUGCUUUGACCAACCUCCAGGAGGCAGAGGCCUCAUCAUAUGUAGUCACCGGUACGUUGUAAAUCUUUUCUCGUGAUGUGUAUGUAUUACUUGAUCUCGGGUCUACCUUGUAUUAUUUGACCCCAUACGUAGCUGUUGGUUUUGGGUUUGAGCCCGAUGUGAUUGCUGAACCUUUUUUGGUUUCCACCCGAGUAGGAGAUUCUGUUGUGGCUAGGAGGGUGUAUAAAAAACUUGUUGUGUCUAUUUUCAGCCGGGAUACUGAAGCAGAUCUUAUAGAACUUGAUAUGGUUGAUUUUGAUGCCAUCUUAGGGAUGGACUAGCUCUAUUCGUGCUAUGCAACCUUGAAUUGUAGGACCCGAAGAGUCAUAUUUUAUUUUUCGAAUGAGUCUGUGAUAGAAUGGGAGGGACAUUCUUUAGCACCUAGAGGGCACUUCAUAUCUUAUCUCAGGGCCCAUAAAUGCAUUUCCAAAGGUUGCUUGUAUUAUCUUAUUCCGGUUAAAGACUCUAGUGCUGAAAGUCUCCCUCUUCAAUCUGUUCUCAUAGUAAAUAAAUUCCCAAAAGUCUUUCCAGAUAAUCUCCCAGGAAUACCACCUAAUAGGGAGAUAUAUUUUGGUAUUGAUUUAUUGCCAGAUACCCAUCCUAUUUCUAUUCCUCCAUAUAGGAUGGCUCCUGCAGAGCUAAAAAAGUUGAAAGAACAGCUAGCAGAUCUUCUAAAUGAAGACUUUAUCCACCCUAGUAUGUCUCCCUGGGGUGCACCUGUACUUUUCGUUUGAAAGAAAGAUGGUUCCCUGCGUAUAUGCAUAGAUUACCGCUAGGUACAAAAGAUCACUAUAAAAAAUAAGUAUCCGCUUCCUAGGAUUGAUGAUCUAUUUGACCAACUACAGGGUGCUAAUUGUUUUUCUAAAAUAGACCUUCAUUCAGGAUAUCAUCAAUUGAAAGUUAGGGAGUCAGACAUUCCCAAGACAGUUUUCCGAAUCAGAUAUGUUCAUUAUGAAUUCCUAGUCAUGUUCUUCGGGUUGACUAACACCCCUGCAUCCUUCAUGGACCUAAUGAAUAGGGUCUUUCGAUAGUUUCUAGACUUGUUUGUCAUAGUUUUCGUUGAUGAUAUCUUGAUUUUUUCCAAAAGUAAGGAGGACCAUGCCAAUAACCUUCGAAUUAUCCUUCAUACCCUUAAAGAACAUAAGUUGUAUGCAAAAUUUUCCAAGUGUGAAUUCUGGUUGAAUGCUAUUGCGUUCUUGGGGCAUAUUGUGUCUAGUAAGAAGAUUAAGGUUGAUCCCCAAAAGAUUGAGGCAGUGAGAAAAUGGCCCAAACCCAUGACUUUAACCAACAUUUGAAGCUUCUUGGGUUUGGCGAGGUAUUACAGAAGAUUCGUCGAGAGUUUUUCUUCCAUAGCUGCACCACUUACUAAGUUGACUCAGAAAAAGGUGAAGUUUUUGUGGUCUGACUCUUGUGAGAAUAGUUUUGAGAAGUUGAAAGACAAGUGGACUACUACUCCUGUUUUGACUCUUCCGAAAGAUACAAAAGGUUUUGUUAUAUAUUGUGAUGCGUUCCGAGUGGGACUUGGGUGUGUUCUUAUGUAGCACGGUAAGGUAAUGGCUUAUGCAUUCAGGCAGUUAAAGGUGCAUGAGCGAAACUACCCUACUCAUGAUUUGUAGUUAGCGGUUGUGGUUUUUGCACUUAAGAUCUGGCGGCACUAUUUGUAUGGGGUACACGUUGAUAUAUUUACUGACCACAAGAGUUUACAGUAUGUUUUCUCACAGAAAAAAUUGAAUCUCAAACAGAGGCGAUGGUUGGAACUUUUAAAAGACUAUGACAUGAGCCUACACUAUCAUCCGGGCAAGGCGAAUGUGGUAGUCGACGCCCUCAACAGGUUAUCUAUGGGCAGUCUUUCUCAUAUGGGGAAAGAAAAAAAGAAGAUGGUAAAGGAUAUUCACUGACUCACAAAUCUAGGAGUGCGACUUUUGGAUUCUGAGGAUGGAGAAGUGGUUGUUCAUGAGAUACCUAAAUCUUCCCUUUGUCCAGAAGUUAAAGAGAAACAGGUUGAAGAUCUCAUCUUGAUGCAGAUUAAGAAAGAUGUGGGUCAACAAACGGUAAUGUCAUUUGAAAUUGGUGGUGAUGGUAUUUUGAGAUACCAGGGUAGGUUGUGUGUCCCAGAUGCAGAUGGUCUGAGAAAGAGAAUCCUUGACGAAGCUCACACGUCGAGGUAUGUUGUUCUCCCUGGCAUUACUAAGAUGUAUCAUGAUUCCAAAACCAUUUAUUAGUGGAAUAAUAUGAAGCGUGAUGUGGCUAAUUAUGUUGCUAAGUGUUUGAAUUGUCAACAAGUUAAACUAGAAUAUUUGAGGCCAGGUGGUUUUUCUUAAGAUAUAGCUUUGCCUUUGUGGAAGUGGGAGAUGAUUAAUAUGAGCUUUAUUACAUGACUUUAGAGGUCCCCAAACUAGUAUGAUUCCAUUUAGGUGAUUGUAUAUAGGUUGACCAAGUCAGCUCAAUUUCUACCUGUCAGGAUAAAUUAUUCAGGAGAGGAUUAUACCAAGAUGUUCAUUGCAGAAAUAGUUCAUUUGCAUGGGGCACCUGUGUCCAUCAUAUCUGACAGAGGUACACAGUUUUGGACAUCGUUUCAAAAGGGUUUAGGUACCCAAGUGAAUUUGAGCACGGCUUUCCACCCUCAGACAGAUGGAAAAGCUGAGCGCACCAUCCAGACCCUUGAGGAUAUGUUGAGGGCCUGCGUGAUUGAUUUUAAAGGUAGUUGGGUAGAGCAAUUACCAUUGAUAGAGUUUGCAUAUAAUAAUAGUUUCCAUUCCAGUAUUAAGAUGGCACCUUUUGAGGCAUUGUAUGGGAGAAGAUGUAGGUCCCCGAUAGGAUGGUAUGAAGUAGUUGAGAAGCAGAUAUUUGCGCCUGAUCUUGUUCAUCAGGAAAUAGAGGAUGUGAAAGUCAUUAGAGAAUGACUUAAGACAGCUCAGAGUCAUCAGAAGUCCUACGCCAAUGUUAGAAGAAGAGAUCUAGAGUUUGAGGUUGGAGAUUGGGUGUUUCUCAAGGUUUCUCCCAUGAAGGUAGUCAUGCGAUUUGGGAAGAAAGGUAAGAUGAGUCCUCACUAUAUAGAACCAUAUCAGAUUGUAAGAAGGAAAGGUGGAGUUACGAUGAGUUAGGAUUGCCAGCUAGUUUGGGUUCGGUUCAUCCGGUAUUUCAUAUAUCUAUGUUGAAGAAGUGUAUUGGAAACCAUUCUUUAGUAUUGCCUGUCGCAGAAAUCAAAGUGACAGACUACUUAUCCUAUGAAGAAGAGCCUGUAGAUAUUUUGGAUUGCCAAGUUAGAAGAUUAAGGAACAAAGAGAUAGCCUCAUUUAAAGUGUUGUGGAGAAACCAGAAAAUUGAAGAAGUGACUUGGGAAUCAGAAGUUGACAUGAGAGCUAUAUACCCAAACCUUUUUGAUCCAAUGUAUGACAAAAUAGAAGGUACAAUCCUUGACUUAAUCUUUCUAUGCCUUAGUAUGCUUGAAAUUACACUUGUAUGUAUCCCACGUCAACAUUCGGGGAUGAAUGUUCCCAAGGGGGGGAUAUUGUAACGCCCCGAAGUUUUUCUUAGCUAAAUUUUGUCCCUAAAAUAUCAAGCAUUGGCUUCUAUAAUGAUUUAUACUUUUUUCCUGGUGGAAUCUCUUAGAUUUAAACUUUUUAUUUUGUAGAUGAUUGAAUAAGUUUUCUGUCGACAUAAGAUGCGUCCAAAACGGACACUCGGUGAAGGAGUUAUGGUGAAUUUAAGUCCUAGUCGUAAAACACCGUCAUUCCUAUCCUUGACGCAUCACGGAGAGGGUGUGAAUGAUGAUGGUCAAUUUCUAGUGGGACUCCGCGAUAGUGGCGCAUCGCGGAGUGGGCCAAAUUCCCAUUCGUCAAUUUCCAGUGAGCCACCGCGAUAGUGACACGUCGCGGUGGCCCAUGAAAUUGGGAUCUCAGUUAUAUUUUAAUACCGGUCUUAUUAAGAGUAUAUUGGGUAUUUUCCCACACCCUUAUCAGUCCAAACACGAGAUUUCAACCCCAGAUUGAGCAUACUACUCAUACAUUCACCAAAAAUAUUCAAGAACACUCUCUAGGGUUCCAUAUUGAUAAUCCAAAUAAAUCAAGAUUCAACUGUGGGUUUUCAAAACAAAUUGAAGAUUUGGAAUCCCCAAGCCAUGGGCAUCAAGAAGCAUCCUUUAAAUUUCUAGAUAGAGGUACAUGGGGUUUACCCUAAAAAAAACUACAUGGGCUUAAAAUCAUUAGAGCAUGAUUUUAAGAUUUUUAUGCAUGAAUUUCAAAGGGGUUUUGGAAUCUAUGAUCUAAAUUACGUACUUCGAAUGUUUUAAUGUUACUAUUAUUUUGACCUUGUGGUCUUAUCUCUUCAAUUGAUUUACAUGUAUACGUAUAUAUAUGGAAUUUGAGAUUUAAGAUCGUUGAGAGCAUAAAUUAUGAACUCCCUCUCAUGUAUUGAAUUAAAGAUUAUGAUUUUGUGAUUUGAAAGAUGUUUUCGCAAUAUUAUAGCAUUUGAGCAUGAUUUGAAAUUGUUGAGAGGGUGUUUCUUGAUAUAAAUGUGUUCUUGUGUGAGAUAAUACAUUGAAACACUCUAAACUUGUAGCCAAAACUUACUUUAAACCCUAAACUAUUCGGGCAAUUAUUUAUCCCCCUUAACAACUUUCAAGUGAAUUUUUUUCCACCCUAAAAAAAUUAUACCACUCUCAAUACAGAGAGAAAAGUGCACGCGCCCCACGUAAUUGCCAAAUUAGUGCCAUGUCAUUGCCACAUAAGAAAUUGUAAUUUUUAAAAAAAUCCAAUAAAUAUAUUAUUUUUAUAUUUUUUUUUAAAAAGCAAAAAAUAUAUUUGUACUUUAUAUAUAUGUAUAUAUAUAUAAAGAACCCCCCCUACUAAUUCUUCUCCAACCCCCCCCCCCCCCCUUCUCCUCCUUCUUUAAUUUUUUUUUUACCAUUAACACCAAUAACUUGAUUCGAAUUUAACAAUAAAUUGAUAAAUAACUUGUUCAUGUAGAUUAAGCCAUGGCUCCUCUAUCAACAUUUAGAAAUCAACAAUUGCAAGUAGAACAAAAUCUAAAAUCAUCCACAACAAUUCCAAAUCUACCAAACGAUUUAGCAGCAAUAAUAGGGGGGAGAAAGAAGAUAAAGAUUGGGGGGUGUGGGGGGGGGGAGUGGGGGUGGGGGAAGGGAAUGGUUAUGAAGAAGAUGAUGAUGGAAGUGAAUUUUUGAUUAUUUUAAUCUAAUAUAUAUAUAUUAAUAAAACUUGUAAAAUUAAAAGGUGGGACCCAUCAUUUUCCAUGUUUUUAAAGCAAAUUACGUGCUGAUUUUUAAAAAAAUUGUCACGUCAGUAAUUAGGGUGGAAAAAAAUUCACUUGGAAGUUGUUAAGCGGGGUAAAUAAUUUCCCGAUUAGUUUAGGGUCUAAAGUAAGUUUUUGCUACAAGUUUAGGGGUGUUUCAAUGUAUUAUCUCAUCUUGUGUUUAAGAGAAAGAAUUACAUGUGAAUUGAGAACUUUGACAUGACCACCUUGUACUGUACUACUGAAAUGCUUGACAAAGAUGAGUUCCUUGCAUGUGUUUACAUGAGGUUUGAGAAAGAGUUUCUUUGAAUUGAAUUAUUGAAAUGGUGGUCCCAAAACUUGUCUUUCAAAAACAGAGAUCUACAAUAGACUAAUAAUGGCUCAGAAAUAUGACUUGCAAGUCAAUGGUAUAACGAUAACAUAUGUAUUUAUGCCAUAACAGAUUAUGUUUUUAGAGCAUCUUUUCAAAGUAUGUUUUCAGAGACUGUAUAUUUUGAUAGAGUUUUAAAAAAAGAAUUAAAGAGGGUUAGGUGGUUACCCGAAGAAGGCGCGAGUUCAAGCAACUCUUAGCCUAAAACCGUAUUUGCAAAUGCCCAUGUAAAUUCUUACUAUAUGAUGUACUUAUGAACUAUUUUAAGUUCUCUCAUAUAUAUUGAAUAAUAAAUGAUUAUUUGGAUAUGCUCUGCGUACCAGUACAUCUGUAUUGACCCCCCUCCCCCUACCUCUCAGGUUCUGAGACUCAGUCUAGGAGUCCAGAUAAGUAGUAGAUAAUUCAGAAAGCUGAUUAGAUUGUGCAGUGGUGAGCCUUCUUUAUUCCAGAAGGCCUGUCUUUUCAGAUUAUGUCACUUAUUUUAGUUUUUGGUCUACUGGGGGCCUUGUCCCAGUUUCAGACAGCUGUCAGAUUUUCAUGUAGUAGAGAUUUCGCAGGCUGAGUCAGAUGUUAUUUAGAUGUAGUUGAUUUACAGUUUCCAUACUUGUGUUGAAUUCAGAAUUGACCAUGUUUCCAUAGCAGAUUAUGUUUCCGCAUCUUCUUUUAUUAUAUGAAUGUUGUGCAUGAUUACCAGAUAGAAAAGGGCAUUUCGGGCCUUCAUGGUUCGGGAUGUUCGUCAUGGACAGGCCCUCGUUCGGGUCGUGACAACCUAUCUCGACCAUAUAGCAUUGUACCGUUAUAGAUUCUAUUAGAGGCUUAGUAGGAAAUCUAAAAUUAUCAUAUGCAACUAUAGUUUCAAUUGUUGACUGUGGUAGUGUGAAUAGUUGGAUAGUUUGACUUAUAUAUAGUUCCUCAUUACGAUUGCAUGUACAGUGACUCAUCCGCUUAGAACAAGUCAUUUGUAUAAUGUGUUCUUAUACGGAUCCUUCUCCACCUCGAUUAGUUUAAGGGCGUGACAUAAUUUUUUUUUAGUUUGAUUUAGAAUUUUAUAUUAUGGAUAAAUUAAGAAACCUUGCUAGUAAAGUGUCAAAAAAAUUAUUCCGAAAGUGGUAGUGGUAGUAAAAAAGCGAAUUACUAGCGGUAGAGGUAGUUCAAGUAGUAGAUAUACCCAUGUGUCUCCGGUACCGCUAAGUCAACCUUUUGAUGAAGAAGUAGGUGUAUGUGCUCACGAUAUGAAUUAUGAAGAAGCUUAGGAAAAUUACGGUAUAGAAGAAGAAAAUAAAGUAGAUGUGGUUAAUUUAGAUCUGAAUCGGUUAUCGCCCUCCCCGUCCUCUCCGUACCCCAAGAGUUCAUAAAACAACUAGUAUUGCAUGGCAAUUUUUUACACAUAUAGAAGGAGAGACUAAGGUGCAAUGCACUAUUUGUCAACAAGUAUAUGAGCAUAAAAGAGAAGGCAAUCAAGGGAGUACAGGUACGCCAAUGAGACAUAUAAAUGAUAAUUACGAAAGAGAGUUAUUUAUUACACGAGAUAAUGACGCUGUUAGUGGGACAACACAAACUAGAAUGGAUCCAACAACCGACCAGGUAAUUAAGAAUUAUAAUAUAUAUAGGGAUUGGGAAGAAAUAGCAAAAAUGGUAGUUGUGGGUUGUUUGUCUUUCAGUUUUCCUUCUUCGGAUACUUUUAUUCAUUAUAUUCAAGCAAUUUAUAAUCUUAUGUUUAUGGUAUUCCUAGAAGUACUUUUCGGGUUGAUAUUUUUAGACUUCAUUCGCAAUAUAUUUUUUUAUUUAUCUACGUUGUUAAAAAAUACUCAAUGUAGAAUGACUCUAACUUCUGAUCUUGGUCGUGCUAUCAAUAAAAAUAAUUAUUUAACCAUUACUGGAUAGAUAGUAAUUAUGUUGUGCAAAAAUGUAUUCUUGCUUUUUUGUAUGAUGUACAUCGUAGACAUACUAGAGAAUUUAUUGCUGAUUCGGUUAGUAAAGUUGCAGAAUUUUAUGGUAUUGAAAAAAAAGUCUUAUGUAUUGCUUUUGAUAAUACUUCUACAACAAGACUGCUAUUACAAAGUUAAAAGCUAAGCUCUCUCCGUCGUUACCUGAAAUAUUUUAUGUUAAGUGUGUUUGUUAUAUAUAUAAGUUAAUUAUAAGAGAUGGUCUUGAAUUUUUUAAGCUUUAUAUUAAAAAAAUUUGGCUUGUUGUUGGCUUUAUUCAAGGAAAUAAUCGAAGAAAAAGAAUUAGAGAAUUUAAAGUUAAAUGUCAAGAAAAUGGACUUAGACCGUUAUUGAUGCCUGAAGAAUGUGCUACUAGAUGGAAUGCUACGUAUGAUUAUUUAAAAACUUGUCAUGCUCAUAGAGUUCCUAUUACACUAACUUUUAACCAACAUUGUGGUUCAUUUGUUGAUUCAAUUGAAUGUAUGCUACAUGAUUCUGAUUGAGUUGUAAUUGAUAAUCUUGUUAAGUUUUUGGAAAAAAUUUAUAUAGCUACAGUUGAAUUUUUCGGUGUUUAUUAUCCUACUUUUUGUAAUAAUUUAGCAGAUAUAGACGAUAUUUGCUCAAAAAAUAUAAGAAUAAAGAAGGUUACAAAGAAGUUGUUGAUGCUAUGUUUGCAAAAUUUAAAAAAUAUUUUUUUCGGUUCCCCCUAUUUACUUGGUUGGUUUUAUACUAAAUUCAUGUAUGAAAUAUAAUACUAUGUGUCAAUUUAGUACUCUUAUUUAUUCUAACUUAGAGAUAAAUACUAACAAUGAUUCUGAUGAUGAAGAACAAGAACAACUAUAUUUGUAUACAGCUAUGAGUGAUGCGAACAUUUACAUAGAUAAAUUAUAUAACCAUUAUGCUGAUGUACUUGAUUUAGCUGUACGACAAAUAUCACUCCAACUGUCGUUCAUCCUCCUCCUGAGGAGCCAUCAUCUUCUAAAAGGCCGGCACAUAGUGGUUUUCAUGAUUACUUUUAUGAUUUAAAUGUUUGAAACAAUUUUGAGGAGGGAACUUACACAACAACUUCUCAGGAAGAGCUUAACUCAGCACAAUCAAGUCCAAUGCAUGGUUUUGCCCCCAUUGACUUUGACUAUCCUAAGAAAGUUUCCGUUAAUUUUAACAUGGAUGAGUUGAAAAAAAUGAUUAAAACUUUGUAGAUUUUCAUUCAUGUACAUUAUAAAUUUUGAAUCAUUUUGCAAUCAAUAAAAUAUAACAUUCAUUCACUCCUUAAUUUAUAAUUUUUUUAAUUUAAUGAUUUAAAUUGAACUUCUAGUUUAAAUCAAAUACUUAGUUUUAAUAUAUUACUAAUAAUUACUAUUAAGUAUUAUUAAUUUAUUAUAUCAAGUAGCAUAUUUUUUAAAGUAGUACAUAUAUUGAAUGGUACGUAUAUAUGUGUAUAUAUUUUCUAUAGAGUAUAGACUCUAAAGUAGUAUAUAUUUAACGUAUACAUGUGUAUAUGUUUUAUAAAUUAGUAUGUAUAUUGUAGUAUAUAUCUUGUAGUAUAUGUAUAUUUUUUAAAGUAGUACACAUAUUGAAUGGUACGUAUAUAUGUGUAUAUAUUUAUUAUAGAGUAUAGACUCUAAAGUAGUAUAUAUUUAACGUAUACAUGUGUAUAUUUUUUUAUAAAUUAGUAUAUAACUAUAUAUUUUUUUUUGUGCAUAUAUUGUAGUAUAUAUAUUAUAGUAUAUAUUUUAUUUAAAGUUGUACAUAUUUAUUGAAUGGUACGUAUAUAUGUGUAUAUAUUUUCUAUAGAAUCUAAAGUAGUAUAUAUUUAACGUAUACAUGUGUAUAUGUUUUAUAAAUUAGUAUAUAUAUAGUGUUAAUAUGUUGUAUGUAUAUUUUUUAAGUAGUACAUAUAUUAAAUGGUACAUAUAUAAGUGUAUAUAUUUUCUAUAGACUCUAAAGUAGUAUAUAUUUAUCGUAUACAUGUGUAUAUGUUUUAUAAAUUAGUAUAUAUAUAGUGUUUAUGUGUUGUAUGUAUAUUUUUUAAAGUAGUACAUAUAUUAAACGGUACGUAUAUAUGUGUAUAUAUUUUCUAUAGACUCUAAAGUAGUAUAUAUUUAAUGUAUAUAUGUGUAUAUGUUUUAUAAAUUAGUAUAUAACUAUAUNNNNNNNNNNNNNNNNNNNNNNNNNNNNNNNNNNNNNNNNNNNNNNNNNNNNNNNNNNNNNNNNNNNNNNNNNNNNNNNNNNNNNNNNNNNNNNNNNNNNNNNNNNNNNNNNNNNNNNNNNNNNUAUAAUAUAUAUAAUGUAGUAUAUGUUUUAUUUAAAGUAGUACAUAUAUAUUGAAUGGCACGUAUUUAUGUGUAUAUAUUUUCUAUAAACUCUAAAGUAGUGUAUAUUUAAUGUAUACAUGUGUGUAUGUUUUAUAAAUUAGUAUAUAUAUUGUAGUAUAUAUCUUGUAGUAUAUGUUUUAUUAAAGUAGUAUAUAUAUUUAACUAACGUAUAGUCGUAUACAUGAUUACAUGUGUAUAUGUAUAUAUGUUCUUAAAAUUCUAAUGUAGUAUAUACUAUAUAUAUAGUGUAUAUAUAUUGUUUAACAUAUUUAAAAUGUAUAUAGGUGGGUAUAUAUAGUGUAUAUUGGAGAAAAAAAUUUAAUUUUUUUUGUUUUGACCGAUUUUGACCGAAUUUUGAACCGAUUUUGAUCGGAUUUAGGCGGGUUGGACCGGAUUAGGGCUAAUGGGCCGGUCUCGGUUUUUUUUUUAAAAUCGGACCGGCCUGUUAAGCCAGGCUCAGAUUCGGACCGGCCCACAACACGGUUAAAAGUGAUGAGCCGGUUCUGAGUUGACCCGGCUCGACCCCAUUAACUGGCUUAUUGUGAACGUUAAUUUAUUACUUAUAAGAACCAACAAUUUUAAUCUUCCGUGCAUGAGUUAAAAUACUACAUACACAAAAUUAUCUAUUAUAUAAGCAAAGGACACACAUGUUAACAGAAUGAUCUAUUCAAAUAAAGAUUUUAUUAAUAUAAUAAAUAGUCUUUACAUGGAAUGAAAAUAUAAUACUAUAAUACAAACUACAUGGUUAAUAGUAUAUCCUAACAAUCUCCCACUUAGACUCAUAACCAUGAAUGCACAACUUUAACACCAUUUUCUUCCACAUGUUUAUCAUAAACCUUCUGGGUUAAGCCUUUUGUAAAUGGGUCCGUCAAAUUGUUCUUCGACUCAAUCUUCAAAACUCUCACAUCACCCCUUUGAGUUAUAUCCCAAAUCAAGUGAUAUUUGCUCUCAAUAUGCUUACUUUUUUUAUGACUUCGUGGUUCUUUCGAGUUUGCAACAGCACCACUAUUGUCACAAUAAAGUGGUAGUGGUGUUUGAAUCGAAAGAACAACUCCAAGCUCUUUCAAAAAAUUACCGAGCCAAACAACCACUUUAGCUGCCUCAGAGGCAGCUACAUAUUCGACUUUCAUGGUGGAAUCAGUAACACAUGAUUGCUUGAUACUCCUCUAAACAAUGGCUCCACCUCCUAAAGUAAACACAUAUCCUGAGGUAGAUUUUCUAGAAUCUUUAUCCGACUGAAAAUCUGAAUCAGUAUAUCCAACAAGUACAAGACUCCCAUAGUGAAAAACAAGCAUAUAAUUCCUAAUUCUUUUAAGGUAUUUGAUUAUAUGCUUAACCGCAGUCCAAUAUUCUUGCCCAGGAUUAGACUGAAAUCUACUAACCAUGCCUACCGCAAAACAAAUAUCAGGUCUAGUGCAUAACAUAGCAUACAUAAGACUCCCUACAGUUGAAGCAUAAAGGACUGCCUUCAUUCUCUCUAUCUCAUCGAUCAUUUUGGGUGACAGAUCUUUUGAUAGAGUAAUUCUAUGCCUAAAAGGAAGGAACCCCUUUUUGGAAUUUUGCAUGCUAAUUCUUGCAAGAAUAGUAUCAAUAUAAAAAGUGCUUGAGAUAAGCCUAAUAUCCUUUGUUUGCGAUCUCGCAUAAGCUUGAUUCCAAGGAUAUGAGCCGCUUCUCCCAAGUCUUUCAUAUCAAAACGCGAGGACAGUCACUCCUUAACAGAAUUCAACAUGCUCACAUUAUUUCCUAUGAGCAAAAUGUCAUCUAUGUACUAAAUAAAAAAUGUUACUCUGUCUCUAUCCCAUUUUUUAUAAACGCAUGACUUAUUUUCACAUUGAUCAAAACCAAAAGUCUUAAUCUAAUUAUCAAAACAAGUAUUCCAUGCUCUAGAUGCUUGUUUCAAAUCAUAAACAAAUUUCUUAAGUUUUACAAAACUUAUGUUCAUUACCACUUUUCAUGAAAUCUUCUGGUUGUGUCAUAUAAAUGCACUCGUCAAGACUUUCAUUUAGAAAAGUCGUCUUGACAUCCAUUUUUCAAAUCUCAUAAUCAUAAUGAUCAACAAUGGAUAAGAGAAUCCUAAUGGAUUUAAGCAUAGCUACCGACGAAAACGUUUUCUCAUAAUCAAUUCCUCCUUUUUGAGUAAACCCUCUCGCAAUAAGCCUAGCCUUAAAAGUUUACACUUUUUCAUCCACACCUCUCUUUUCUUAUAGAUCCAUCUACAUCCAAUGGGUUUGACUCCUGUAGGUGCUUCUAUAAGUUCCCAGACUUGAUUGGAAUACAUAGAUUCCAUUUCAGAUUUCAUAGUAGCAAUUCACAUUUUAGCAUCUUUGUCAUGUAGUGCUUCGGCGUAAUUAAGAGGUUCUGUAUUAGGCCCCUUAGGAAUUCUAUCAUACGAUUCUCCCAAGCAUAAAUCGUAAAGAUUUUCUAAUAAUUCUCCCACUACGAGGACUAGUCACUACGGAUCUGCUAUGUUUGAAACUAAAUUUUGAACACUCCCAAUGUCUUCCUGUACUAUAACAAAUUCCUCGACAUUAUCCUGAAUGUUUUUCUCCACAAUUACAGGCUACUCGACGUUACUCCCACUACUUUGAGGUAGUGUAAUGUCAAGUGUUUGCUCUUGUGCAACCUCUUGCCUAUUGAUAUUUCUCCCACUGCGUGGAUGCAAUGGUAUGUCAAUAAUGGUUUUUGGAAUUUAUUCUUGUGUUUCAUUAUUUCUUAUUCUAUUGCUCAAUUCCCGUAAAAUAAUUUUACUUCUAGGAACGUGGUUCAUUAAAUAAUCUUCUUCAAGAAAUCUGGCCUUUGUCAAAACAAUUACCUUUAGUUUCUGAGGACAAUAAAAUAAACCCCCUUUCAUUCCUUUUGGAUAUCCAGUAAAAACGCACACUUCUAUCCUAGAUUCCAACUUAUCAGGGAUAGAUUCCAACUUAUCAGGGAUAUUUGGAUUCCAACAUAUCCCAAAUCCGAAUAUGUCGUAGACUAGGAUUGCGCCCACUCCACAAUUUAGAUGGGGUUAAAAGUACUAAUUUUGAAGGAAUCAAGUUCAGAAUACAAUUUAUAGUUUCUAAUGCAUAACCCCAAAAACAAAAAAGGCAAAUAUAAAUAACUUAACAUUGAUCUAACCAUUUGCAAAUGAGUUUUAUUUCGUCGUUCUGUCACACCAUUUUGUUGUGGUGUUCCCGGAGCAGAAUAUUGAGAUAUAAUUUCUAAUUUUGAUAAAUAUUUAAUGAAUUCCGCAAAAAGGUAUUCACCACCACAAUCAGAUCGUAAUAUAUGGAUAUGUUUGUUUUGUCGCUUUUCUGUUUUCAUCUUAAAUUCUUUGAAUCUUUCAAAGCAUUCAUAUUAACGGCACAACAAAUAAAUGUAUCCAUGUUUUGAGUAAUCAUCUGUGAAAGUAACAAAAACUCAAAACCACACUUGUUUGUACAUUCAUAGGACUACACAAAUCAGUAUAAAUUAAUUCUAAAUUAUUACCGGCUCCAUUUUCUUUGGAAGGAAAAUGUCUCUUGGUCAUUUUACCAUCUAAACAGGAUUCACAAGCUGGAAGUGUCUCCACUUCCAAUAAACUCAAAGGUCCAUCAGAAACCAACCGUGAGAUCCUAUUUAAGUUAAUAUGACCUAGACGUAAGUGCCAUAAGUAUGUUUCACUCAAUUUCGAAAUACGUUUCCUUUUAAGUGAUUGAACAACAUUAUUAAGUUUUAUUUUUUUGUAGCAUAUUAUGGGAAACCUCAAAUACAAACAAGUCAUGUAUUCUAGGAGCAGAAAUAAUAAAAUGUUUAUUAAACAUAAUAAUUGCACAAUUAUUAACAAAAUAAACAUUAUAACCAACAUCCAUUAUUCUUGAAACUGAAAGUAAAUUUCUUCUUAUAGAAGGUACGUAAAGAACAUUAUUCAGUCUUAAAACUCUAGAACUACUAAACGAAAUAGAAAUAUUUCCUAUAGCUAAGGCUAGUGCUAGUUCCCCAUUUGCUUGAAACACAUUCAGUUCAUUUUCACUUAGACGUCGUGUUUCCUGAAACCCCUGCAAUGAAGUGCAAAUAUGAUUAGUGGCUCCCGAAUCUAUAGCCCAAAAUCGGGUAGAAACAGCUGCUAAAACUGUUUCAACGACAUAUGAAAAAGAUGUACCUUAUUUUUGUAUCUUUGCUAUGUAGUCGGGACACUGUUUCUUAUAAUGACCAGGUUGCUUGCAAUGAUAGCAUUUGACCUUAGGUUUAGACACACUACCAUUAGCACUUGAAACCUUACGAGGCUUUUUUUUUCUUUUGGCCUUUCAGCUUAGAAAUCGAAGCUGAAGGUUUGUAACCAUUAAUGCCGCAUGAGGAGCUUAUUGCUUAAUAAUAGAUUUUGUCGCUUGCAGCUCAUUCAACAAUUUCACAAGAGAUAAGUCCGUCUUAUUCAUGUUAUAAUUCAAGCAAAACUACAGAAAACUGUCCGACAGAGUCUGCAGGACCAUCUCAACUCUAGAUUCCUUAUCAAUAACCGCACCAAGAAUUUCCAGCUCAUUUAACAAACCAUCAUUUUAAGAACAUAUUCCCUUACCAAAGUUUCUUCAACCAUUUUUGUGGUCAAAAGACCUUUCAUGGCCGUCUGCUUUGCAGCACGAUUUUGCUCACCAAACAUCUCUUUGAGAGAUUCAAGCAUAUCAUAAGCAGUAGUCUUGGACUGAUGUUGAUGCCACAACACAUUUUCCAUAGAGGCAAAAAUGUAGCAUCUUGCCAUCUCGUCAGCCUUGAUCCACUUAUCAUAGACUUUAAUCUCAUCAUCAGUGGGGUCAUCCGACUUAACAGGACAUUCCUCAACCAGCACAAAUUUAAAGCCCUCAGAAAUAAGAACAAUAACUAAUUACGUUUUCAGUCCACAUAGUUAGGACCUUCUAGUUUAUUUUGAUUCAAGAUAGAAGUGAAGGGAUUGAACAAAGACAUGGUUAAUCUGUUAUAUAAUUCAAUUAAAAACAAAUCAUUCGACAUGUUGUAGAAUAAUAAAAUUCUUUAAAAAAAAACAUCACAUAUAUAACCAUGCACAUAAACAGUUAGAAUCGUUAGUGAAACUUAACCAUUUAACCAAAUAUACAUGUAAUGUCAGAUAUUUUAUCUCUUAAAUAAAACAGAACUAACUCAGUUAGAGAGUAAACUGUUGAUUUAAGUUAGAUAAAUAUAACAUUUCAUAAGUCUAUUUACUAUUGAACCAACAUGUAACUUAGUUGGAAAGUUAAUACAAGUUAUAAAAAAUAAGAGACUAUAAAACAAUAUUAAACUAUACAAGUUUAUCUGAUGGAAAAGAUGACCUAUGUCCACAUGUAAACUCAUAUUAUUUACUGUUAUUACCCACUGAAAAUCAUAAGGAAUGAUCCCUAUUACCACUGGUUUGCAAAAGAUAAUUUUUUCGGAAUUUUUAAUAUUUCUGAAAACAUAAAAAUGCCCAAAAAGUCAACAAAACGACCCCGAAUGGCCAAAAAUGGCCUGUCUCACAACUAGUUAUAUGUAUUGUUUAGUGGCUCAUUUUCAAUAAAUGCACCAAAUUUCAGGUCAUUCAAAAUUCGUCAAAAACUGAAAAACUCCAAAAUCAAUCAAAACGACAAUUAUUGGUCGAGUUGUUGCGAGGGGGGUUGCCUGCACUGUUUGGCCUUACUACUACUGUUCAUAUAGUGAGUAAUGGCUAUGGUUGGAUUUAGCCGAAACUCAUCAUAAUUUUUCCCUUAAUCCUCAAAACUAAUUUUCACAAAACUAUGCAAAAUUUGUUUUAUGCUUUCUUGAUGAUAAACUGAGAUUCUCUUGAAAUCAAUAACAUCAUCAAAAACAUGAAAAGCAUCCAGAAACAACAUGAUUUAUACAAUUAUUAUCUAAAAUAUGUACAACAAAUCAUAUAAUUUCUUUUACAUUAUCUAGCAUAUGUAAGAAGACUACUGAUACCAAUUGUUAGAACGUGCACAUCGGAAGCAACAAUUCUACAGGAUCAAUAUAACUUACACAUAAUCUAGAUAACAUAAAUCAUCAAACGAAAUUGAAAAGCUACUUACCUGUUGAAGCUUUCACACAAUUUGUUCACUGCUUUGACCUCUAGGGCUACAGUCUUCUACUAUAUCCUGACUAACUUUUGCUAUCAAACUUGUGUGGGAAAGUGCUUUUUGAAUUCAAAGAGAAUAUAUCAAGAGAUAAUAAUCUUCUAAACAAAAUCCCUAUUUAUUCGUGUUUUCACUUAAAGUGGGGAAAGCCAACAUGCAAACGUUUUUGUCUUUUUAGUUGUCAAAAAUGCUUUCUGCCUCUUUAUUAUUCAAAAUGUUUUGUGCCCUUUAAUUGUCCAAAAUGUUUUCUUAUUUAAAAUCAGAAGAUAUAUUUUCCUUAUAGAAGACCAGUAAAUAAUAUUACUUCUUCUAGUAAGUUCUUUCUCUUUUCUAAAAUUGAUUAGUUGAUCAGGUAUAACAGGGAUCACAGAUUUAUUAAGUGAGGCUACCAAUUAUGAUAUUAAUUCGCAAAUGAAUGAAUUAUUGUAUCACAAUAAAUUAUAAAUUAAUCCACUAAAAAUCUGUAAUUGCACUCCUCAAUUUAAUUUUGAAAUCUACCAUUACAUCUUAUUUAAUUCCCUAUGUUAGAAUUACCGACACCAAUCAAUUAAAUUAAAUUUCUGAAAAAUUUUACUCAUUGUUUAAUUUAAUCCUUUAUUUACAAUGCUUAACUUAUUUUACAUGACGGAUACAAAAUCCACCUGCAGAAUUUUCACGUAAAAAUUUAUAAGCAACCAUAAAAGGGUGUCUUCCAUCUCAAGUCCGAGACAUGGUUCUAUCAACAAAUUAACAUUUCACUAAGUGAUUCGUUAUCAUCCAACCUAUUAGGAAUAUGUUGACUCACAAAAAAGUCUCACCUUUUAAUAAAUUAAAACGACAAAACAAACCACAUAGAUCAUAAUAAUUAUAUCAAGAUUAAGAGUAUAAGUACAUGUAAUGAACUAGAGAAAUCGUUAAUUAAUAUUCAAAACAUAAACGAAUGUCUCUAAUUGGUCCGUUCAAUACAUAUGAAAUGUACUAACACAAGAAGUUGGAAUAUUACCAUUCCCAUAACUAAGAUCAAAUUAUAUUUAAUCUUGUGCUACAAUCAUCAAGAUGUUUGUCCUACCUCAUCUUGAUUGUGAACAUUAAUUUAUUACUUAUAAGAACCAACAAUUUUAAUCUUCCGUGCAUGAGUUAAAAUACUCCAUACACAAAAUUGUUUACUAUAUAAGCAAAGGACAUAUAUGUUAAUACAAUGAUCUAUUCAAAUAAAGAUUUUAUUAAUCUAAUAAAUAAUCUUUACAUGAGAUUAUACCUGUCAAGUGGGUGGAUCGGGUCAACCAGGAAUCGGCCCAUGAAAGUUAGCCGGGUUGUGGGUUGGUCCGGAUCCGGGCCUAGUUAAACAGGCCGGUACGAUUUCGGGUCCAACAGUAAAAAAAUUUAAAACAAACCUAACCCGUCCCUCUUAACCCAACCUGGUCCAACCCACCUAAACCCGGUCAAAACUGAUUAAAAAAGAAAAAAUUCUCCAAUAUACACUAUAUAGACCCACCUAUAUACAUUUUAAAUACGUUAAACAAUAUAUAUACACUAUAUAUAUAGUAUAUACUACGUUAGGAUUUAAAAAAAUACAUACACAAUUACACAUGUAAUUGUGUAUACGACUAUACGUUAGUUAAAUAUAUAUAUACAUUACUCUAAAUAAAACAUAUUAUACAAGAUAUAUACUACAAAAACAUAUACACAUGCAUACGUUAAAUAUAUACGUCUAUAGAAGAUAUAUACACAUAUAUACCUACCAUUCAAUAUAUAUGUACUACUUUAAAUAAAAUCUACUACAAUAUAUACACACACACUAUAUAUAUAGUUAUACACUAAUUUAUAAAACAUAUACACAUGCAUACGUUAAAUAUAUACGUCUAUAGAAGAUAUAUACACAUAUAUACCUACCAUUCAAUAUAUAUGUACUACUUUAAAUAAAAUCUACUACAAUAUAUACACACACACUAUAUAUAUAGUUAUACACUAAUUUAUAAAACAUAUACACAUGCAUACGUUAAAUAUAUACGUCUAUAGAAGAUAUAUACACAUAUAUACCUACCAUUCAAUAUAUAUGUACUACUUUAAAUAAAAUCUACUACAAUAUAUACACACACACUAUAUAUAUAGUUAUACACUAAUUUAUAAAACAUAUACACAUGCAUACGUUAAAUAUAUACGUCUAUAGAAGAUAUAUACACAUAUAUACCUACCAUUCAAUAUAUAUGUACUACUUUAAAUAAAAUCUACUACAAUAUAUACACACACACUAUAUAUAUAGUUAUACACUAAUUUAUAAAACAAAUACGCAUGUAUACGUUAAAUAUAUUCGUCUAUAGAAGAUAUAUACUCAUAUAUACGCACCAUUCAAUAUAUAUCUACUACUUUAAAUAAAAUAUACUACAGUAUAUAUAUACUACAAUAUAUACACACACACUAUAUAUAUAGUUAUACACUAAUUUAUAAAACAAAUACGCAUGUAUACGUUAAAUAUAUUCGUCUAUAGAAGAUAUAUACACAUAUAUAUCUACCAUUCAAUAUAUAUGUAUUACUUUAAAUAAAAUCUACUACAAUAUAUACACACACACUAUAUAUAUAGUUAUACACUAAUUUAUAAAACAAAUACGCAUGUAUACGUUAAAUAUAUUCGUCUAUAGAAGAUAUAUACACAUAUAUAUCUACCAUUCAAUAUAUAUGUAUUACUUUAAAUAAAAUCUACUACAAUAUAUACACACACACUAUAUAUAUAGUUAUACACUAAUUUAUAAAACACAUACACAUGUAUAUAUUAAAUAUAUACGUCUAUAGAAAAUAUAUACACAUAUAUAUGUAUCAUUCAAUAUAUACGUACUACUUUAAAUAAAAUAUACUACAAUAUAUAUAUAUAUACACACACGAUAUAUAUAGUUAUAUAUUAAUUUAUAAAAUAUUUCCACAUGUAUACGUUAAAUAUAUACGUUUAUAGAAGAUAUACACACAUAUAUAUACGUACCAUUCAAUAUAUAUAUACUACUUUAAAUAAAAUAUAAUAUAUACUACAAUAUACACACACACACUAUGUAUAGUUAUACACUAAUUUAUAAAACAUAUACACAUGUAUACAUUAAAUAUAUACGUCUAUAGAAGAUAUAUACACAUAUAUACGUACUAUUCAAUAUAUAAGUACUACUUUAAAUAAAAUAUACUACAAUAUAUACACACUAUAUAUAUAGUUAUAUACUAAUUUAUAAAAUAUAUACACAUGUAUAUGUUAAAUAUAUACCACUUUAGAAAAUGUACACACAUAUAUACGUACCAUUCAAUAUACUAGUUUAGCCGCACGUAUCUUGCACGUGUGACUUUUGAUUAUUACAAAAAAUUCAAAACAUUAUUACAAAAAAUUCAAAACAUAUAUUUUAUUGUAAGCACAUAUAUAUUUUACCACCGAAAGUUUCAAGUGGUUAAUAGAUUUAGUAUGCUGUAGAUGUAGAUGUAGAUUCAUAGACUUUUGAAAUCUUUUUAAAAUCAAAUUUAGUUGAUUUAAAAUUCUCAAACUAAUGAAAAUAAUAUUAGUUGUUAUUAAUUCUGAUGACUUUUAAUAAGUAAAGGUUUUAUCAUAAAUAAAUUUAAUUAAUUUUCGACUCUUAAAUAUUAAAAAAAUACAGUGAAAAGAUAAUUUUAUCUAAAGAAAAGACAGUUAAUAAAGCACAAAAAGUUCAAACGAUAUUUUUAAGGUCUUUCACACCACGUGCAUUACACGUGUGUCUUUUGUUAAUCAAUAAAAGUAUAGUUUAGAGUAUGUGCGUUGCACUUGUGUAUCAAGACAAGUAAUAACUUUUAUAAAAACUGUUGAAACAAAUUAACACAACAGUAUUUAUUAUGCAACUACGAACAAAGAAAAUAAAGACAAACAAAGUGUUAAAUGGUGGAAAUCCUUUGAGGAACCAACCAUAUUGGCAGAGUCUAUUCCCAGGAUUUUUGACUUUGAUAUAUGCUUUAGCUGAUUAUUUAAAAAAAAAAACUUCGAGAAUCAAUUGUUAAAGAAGUUGUGUAGUAGUGGUGAGCAACAAUAAGUUCAUAUGUAAGCCUUAAAAUUUUAAAUUCUCAAAAUAUUAAAAUAUGACCAAUUAAAAAGAUUGUAAUCACAAUAGCUAUGAGAAACUAAUCAAAAUUGAAAAUGAAAAAGAUUUUUCAUGAGCUACGAUAUAUUGAAGAAACGAACGUACCCAUUAAAUAUUUGUUGUUUGACUAAAAUCUUCACCGGCAAUUGCAUUACAAAGAUUUCUAGCCCUAAGGUACAUAAGCUUAUACAAUCCAUCAAGAUAGGGAAAAAACAACCUAAGUAUUUUUUGUCUCUAUUAAAAUUUGAUCAUGAUAUGAAAUCAACUAUACUGAUAACAAUUUCUUUCAAGUAAAAGUACUCUAUAAGGACUGAUCUUUUUGAAAAUUUAAAACUAGUAAAAGAUGGUCUGGAUGAAGCCAAAACAUUAAACUUGUUGCAUAUGUAGUUUAUCAAAAGAAGAAAGUAAAAAAUAAAUUUAAAUUACUCCUGACACUAAUUAAAACUUAAAGUAAAAACAAAGAAUCUAAAUAAAAAAUACCUUAAGAAUCUUCAGUAAAUCAGAGAAGACUUCAGUAAAUCUAAAAACACAACCAAAUCACAUUAUAAAGUGGUGUUGGUGUUUAUUUGGAACUUCUACCUUGUGUUAAUUAUUGUGGACAAGUAAAAACGAGAUAUUCCAAAUUUACACACACCUUCAAAUCCUGACAUAAGAGAUAUUAACGUGUUCUUAUUUUUCAACCUUUUGUCAUGAGCAUUAAUUAUAUUUUCCUUUAUUGUCCAAAUAAUUGUUACCAUAUAUAUUUCUAUUACCAUAUAUCACUUUUUUAAAUAUAUUUUUUCUCUUUUCCUCUUAACAUCUAUUUUAAGAAAAAAGAAAAUCUAUCAAUAUUAAUUUACCAUAUAUUUUCUCUUAUCAUAUAUUUUAGGACACUUUAAUUUUUAAAUAAUUAAUUAAUUAUUAAAAGAAAAAAGGUGAAAAGACGAUUUUGUUUAAAGCACAGACUUUUAAUGAAGGGUAAAAAGUUCAAGUCACUUUUUUUAAGAGUCUUCACACUUUUAAUAUACUAUAGAUACGUACUACUUUAAAUAAAAUAUACUACAAAAUAUAUAUACACACACUAUAUAUAUAGUUAUACACUAAUUUAUAAAACAUAUACACUGUAUACAUUAAACAUAUACGUCUAUAAAAGAUAUAUAGACAUAUAUACGUACCAUUCAAUAUAUCCGUACUACUUUAAAUAAAAUAUACUACAACAUAUAUAUACACACACUAUAAAUAUAGUUAUACACUAAUUUAUAAAACAUAUACACAUGUAAACGUUAAAUAUAUACGUCUAUAGAAGAGAUAUACACAUGUAUACGUACCAUUCAAUAUAUAUAUACUACUUUAAAUAAAAUAUACUACAAUAUAUAUACUACAAUAUAUACACACACUAUAUAUAUAGUUAUACACUAAUUUAUAAAACAUAUACACAUGUAUACGUUAAAUAUAUACGUCCAUAAAAGAUAUAUACACAUGUAUACGUACCAUUCAAUAUAUAUGUACUACAUUAAAUAAAAUAUACUACAAUAUAUACAUACACUAUAUAGUUAUACACUAAUUUAUAAAACAUAUACCAUGUAUACGUUAAAUAUAUACGUCUAUAGAAGAUAUAUACACAUAUACACGUACCAUUCAAUAUAUAGGUACUACUUUAAAUAAAAUAUACUACCAUAUACACACACACACUAAAAUAGUUAUAUACUAACUUAUAAAACAUAUACACGUGUAUACGUUAAAUAUAUACGUCUAUUGAAGAUAUAUACACAUUUAUACGUACCAUUCAAUAGAUGUACUACUUUAAAUAAAACAUAUACUACAAUAUAUAUAUACUACAAUACACACACACACACACUAAAUAUAUAGUUAUAUACUAGUUUCUAAAAUAUGUACACAUGUAUACGUUAAAUAUAUACUGCUUUAGAAGAUAUAUACACAUAUAUACGUACCAUUCAAUAUAUACGUUCUACUUUAAAUAAAAUAUACUACAAUAUAUAUACUACAAUAUAUACACACACUAAAUAUAUAGUUAUAUAUUAAUUUAUAAAACAUAUACACAUGUAUACGUUAAAUAUAUACUACUUUAGAAAAUAUACACACAUAUAUACGUACCAUUCAAUAUAUACGUACUACUUUAAAUAAAAUAUACUACAAUAUUUAUACUACAAUAUAUACACACACUAAAUAUAUAGUUAUGUACUAAUUUAUAAAACAUAUACACAUGUAUACGUCGAAUAUAUACUACUUUAGAAAACAUACACACAUAUAUAUACCAUUCAACAUAUAUGUACUACUUUAAAUAAAAUAUACUACAAUUAUAUACUAUAAUAUAUAUACACACACUAAAUAUAUAGUUUUAUGCUAAUUUAUAAAACAUAUACAUAUGUAUACAUUAAAUACAUACGUCUAUAAAAGAUAUAUACACAUAGAUACGUAUCAUUCAAUAUAUGUACUACUUUAAAUAAAACAUAUACUGUAAUAUAUAUUUAUACUACAAUAUAUAUACUCACACUAAAUAUAUAGUUAUGUACUAAUUUCUAAAACAUACACACAUGUAUACGUUAAAUAUAUACUACUUUAAAAAAUAUACACACAUAUAUACGUACCAUUCAAUAUGUACGUAAUAUAUACUACUUUAAAAAAUAUACACACAUAUAUAUGUAUCAUUCAAUAUAUACGUACACAUAUAAAACAUAUGUACUUCUUUAAAUAAAACAUAUGCUACUUAAUAUAAUAAAUUAAUAAUACUUUAUAGUAAAUUAGUCCGUAUGUUAAUUUUAAAAAAAAAGUAAAAAAAUAAAUCGGGCCGGUUAAUCGGUGGGCCUGGACUGGACUUGAUUUGGGUCUGAUUAAUCGGGCUCAAAAUCAAAAAUAAAUUGGAUCGGGACCCGAUACCCUACAGUCUUUGGGCUGAUCGGGCCGAGUCAAAUCGGGCCGAAUUGACUAGGUAGGCUGGGUCGGGCUGGGUCAGUCCGGUCCGUUUGACACCCUUACAUGAGAUAAAAAUAUAAUACUAUAACACAAAUUACAUGAUUAAUAGUAUAUCAUAACUAUAACAUAAAUUACAUGAUUAAUAGUAUAUCCUAACCAUAUGCAUGUCCGUUAUGAAGUAUUUUAACAUGUUAAUUGCCACCGGUGAUAAUUCAGCUCCUGCUUGUAUCUCUUUUUUUAAUUUAAAGUAACCAGUACUUUGUCAAGACCUCUUAAUCUUAAAAACUAUUAACUUGCUCAUAUAAGUUGACUAAAAUAAGAUAUUUGAAUUAUAAUUAUUAUAAUGAUAAAAUGGAAUGUAUUUUGUAAUUGUGUGUAUAUAUAUAGUUUACGGAAGAUUCAUAUAUGUUCUUAAAGUAUUCAAAAUUGAGUGUAUAUGUCACUCGUUAGUAGUGCAACUCACAUAUGACUUGAUUGUUCAAUAAUUGAUCAAAAUAUGCUUUUAAUUUAAGGUGAAGCUCCUAAUUAAUUUAAUCAGCAGAUUAAUAAAAAUAAUGCUAAAUAUACUCCAUGGAGUCUUUUUGAUAGUUGGUCCAAGUUAUACAAAUACUAGGGAUAAUGUCUGCGCUUUGCGCGGUGCAUUAUUGUUAAAAGUAUAAACUCUAAAUACAAUGGUAAGAUUUCACUAUUAAAAUAGAGGGUAGAUUAAUUGUAGUAUUACUUAUUAUUAUAUCUUCUUGGAAAAAUGAAAAUAUAUAGACAUACAUUUUUUAUAAAAGAUUUUCACUUUUAGUUAUAAUGUGUGCAUGUUUUAAUAGUAUUAGAUUUUCUUUUGAUUUUUUAUGCGUUGUUCUGUAUCCGUAUUAAAAUUCGAUUAAUUCAAAUUUUGAUGUUUAAUAGGACCUAUUACUAAUGUCAUGGAUUUUGAGGUAUUAAUAAUACCCACCUCAAUACACAAUAGAGUGCAUUAAUUAUACAUAGGGUAAAAAGGUAUACCAAACAAGGUAAUACUAAUACACAUUAAACUAACGCAUGCAUUAAUAUUUUAAUACAUUCUACCAAACGAUCCCUAACAGUGUUUAUGCGUGCCUCCCAUUUUCUUGAGCUUCUUUCUCUUUUAUAAAAGACAAAACCUUUGAUUUCAUACAGCUAUAACACAAUCCUUCUUAUCUGUUGCUCUCCAUAUCUGAAAAAGCUACAACAAUUUAUUUUUUUUAAUUCCGUUUCUGAUAAGCCAAUACUUUUUGGGCUAAUCUUCAGGCAAGGUAAAAUGUGAAAUUGGUAGAAUCAUAUGUAACGAAAAGCAUAGACUUCAAAAAUGUAGCAAAAGGAUUCAGUGACUCUUGAGUUAUCACACAUCAAAUGCACUAAUAUAAGAAUUGAAAAUUAGUGAGUAAGAAUCUUACUAUUGCAGUAUAAUCUGGUGCUAUCAACGAUAUCAUAAUAGUAUUUAGAAAAUGCAUUUGCAGAUCUCUUGUGAGAUUUCGGGUGCUCCGUUUCUUAGAACAUUGGAUGAGAAAUCACACACAAAAAAAAAGUAAUUAUAAUGAAUAUUAUGAAAAAGAGAUUUGGAAUAGUAAAGGAUGAAUAUUAUGGAGUACAAAUGAUUUUGUUUAAUAUUUAUACCAACCGACGAAUUAGUAACUUAACAUGAAAUAAUACCAACAUAUUUGAGUAAUUAAAAAUGAAUGAAUGAAUGAGUAUUAAGUGUAUUAAUUAUAUCUGUUCAGCUUUUUAACGUAACAGACAUAAGUUAGCAAAACGUGGGCUGGUUCAAAUUUUAAUUGGGUUUUACUGCAUUUGAUGGCUACGUUUUAGUGGGUUUUAUGAAGUAUUUAUUAUUAUUAAAUCCUUUAAUUAGUAGCAGAAUGAACCAAAAAGUUGCAAAAAAAAAAAAAGGAAAAAUGCCAAAAAAAAGGAGAUAAAAGUUAAAUGCAAAUGAUGGUCAUUGAAAGGUGUCACAUCACCUUCUUUAUUAGAUUCCUUUAUAUUAUAUAUAGAUUAGUAAUAUAUGAAUUGAUCACGACAAAAAUUGUGUAUUAUUUAUAUAAAAUUUUAAAUAUAUACUUCCUCUGUUUUGGAAUAAGUGAAUUAUUGGGGUAUUUAUUAGUAUUUCAAAAUAAAUGAAUCAUUGAAUUAUUUUUCAAAUUUAUCCUUAUGAUUUGACAAUCAAUUAAUUUUAAAAAAAAUAUUAAAAGGUCAGUUUUUUCCUUUUUGAGAACAAAAAUGAAAAAUUGUGUUAAAUUUAUAUCUUUAAUAUUUUUUUCUUAAAUUAUGUAUCAAAAUUUAAUAAUUCAUUUAUUAUGAAACGAAGAAAAUAUUCACAAACUCAUCACCAAAUAGAUUGCGGAACAAUGCUUCGAAGUAUCUACAACUAAGUACAAAUGUCUUUAAUAUAUUACUGUAGUAGUUUAAUUAACAAGUAGGAAAAGGUUAGUUGGUCACAUCAGGUGAAUGCACGCAACAUAAAUAAAUAAAUAAAUAUAAAGAGAGAAAGAAAAAAAUAGACAAGAGCCUGCUAUUUCUGUUUCCCAUCCACCUGCUUUUCUGACACUUCUCUCUUCUGUUUCCAUCAAUUAAUAUCUCCACUCAUUCCCAUCUUUCCUCUUGCUUCCUUACCCCCUGUCUAAUUUUAAUGUGUGACAGUAGGUCGAACAAGUACUAGAGACAUAACUCAGUUUUACUUAAUCAUGGGCGCAUGAUUUAAAAUAGGAUAAUUUGGGGAGCGAAGAUUGGGAGAGGAGGUUAGUAGUUGGUCGAGCGUUAUUUGUCUUUUCGAAAGGUUAGGCGUGGAAUAGUCUAGAGUAUUAAUAUAUCAAUAUAUUUUCUCUGUUCAAUGAUAAGUGAAUUGUUGAAGUAUUUUCUCUUUUAUCAGUUUUUUUUUUUUUUCGAAUACUUUGUAUUAGUGGCCGUAAAUAGUCUUCUGAUAUGUCGCAUAUGCACACGUUAAAUAUCUGACUGACUCGUGAAUCAUGAUAAUGAGUCAUAUGAAACUUAAUUAGUUGGAGGAGGAGAUGCAUUGCAUUGUUGGAUGUGUGAAGAAAAUUCGAUAUUGAUAGUUGAAAUAGGAAGCUCUUUUAAACAUAACGGUGAGGACUUUAAUCCAAAAUGGAUAAUCAUUAAUAUAUCACUGUUUUUAGAAUAGUCUUGAAAUGUUUUGAGCUCCAUUUUAUGACUAUUGACCUUUACACUAGUUUUUCUUUUAAAAUUUAAAUUACGUUUCCUUUAGUGUUUCUUAGGGGUGUCAAGCGGGGCGGGGCGGGGCGGGGCGGGCCGGGUAACUAACCCGGUUCGAUUUGAAUCGGUCCGGUAAUUUCUAGAGCUUUAGGGUUUUGGGUUUUGGAUCGGUUAUUUUUUAAAAGGAGCCCAACUAACCCGGCUCGGAUCAAGCCCGGUCCAGAUCCACCGGUUAACCGAUCCGGUCCGGCCCGGAUACCUUUUUAAAAAGAGGAUUUUGAACCAAACUAGCCGUUGGCCCAACGGCUAUAUAGCCAUUUUUGGGUCCAAACGGCUAGUUUGGGCCCAUUUAUUAAAAAGAAAAAAAAACUUUAAAAAAUACUUUUUAAUCCCAAAAUAAAUUCUAUAAAUACCCUACAACUUCAAAUCAUUUUUCACACAAUUUUUCACUCUCAAAUCUCAAUUCUCAAAUAUUCAAUAUAUUUAAUUUCUUAAAGUGUUCACUUUAAAUUUUUAAUUUUUCAUUUGCAAAGUACGAGCGGAAAUUUCUAAAGUCGCAACCUUCGGAUACUUCCAAAAUUUGGUAUCGUCGUUCCAUCCCUUACGUUUAAUUUUUAUUUAUUGUAUUAAUUGUUUAAUAUUUAAUUUUACUAUAUUUGUGUAUUUUGAAUAUUUUUAGUUUAAUUUAAUUUAUAUUAUGGAUAAAUUAAGAAACUUCGCUACUAAAGGUGUUAAAAAAUCUUGUCCCGAAAGGGGUAGUGGUAGUAAAAAGCGAAUUACUAGCGGUAGAGGUAGUUCAAGUAGUAGAUAUACCCGUGUGCCUUCGCCUCCGGUAUCGCUUGGUACACCUUUUGAGGAAUAAAUAGGUGUAGGUGCUCACGAUAUGGAUUAUGUAGAAGCUCAGGAAAAUUACGGUAUAGAAGAAGAAAAUGAAGUAGAUGCGGUUAAUUUAGACGAAGAUAAUGAAAAUAUUNNNNNNNNNNNNNNNNNNNNNNNNNNNNNNNNNNNNNNNNNNNNNNNNNNNNNNNNNNNNNNNNNNNNNNNNNNNNNNNNNNNNNNNNNNNNNNNNNNNNNNNNNNNNNNNNNNNNNNNNNNNNNNNNNNNNNNNNNNNNNNNNNNNNNNNNNNNNNNNNNNNNNNNNNNNNNNNNNNNNNNNNNNNNNNNNNNNNNNNNNNNNNNNNNNNNNNNNNNNNNNNNNNNNNNNNNNNNNNNNNNNNNNNNNNNNNNNNNNNNNNNNNNNNNNNNNNNNNNNNNNCUUGACUUUUUUGAGCUUUAUAUUGAAAAAAUUCGUCUUGCCGUUGGUUUUAUUCAAGGAAAUAAUCGUAGAUCGAGAAUUAGAGAAUUUAAAGUUAAAUGUCAAGAAAAUGAACUUACAACAAUUUUGAUGCCUGAGGAAAUUGAUAAUAGCUAAGUAGCAUAUGUUUUGUAUAUUUGUACAUAUAUCUUCUAAAGAAGUGUAUAUUUAACGUAUACAUGGGUAUAUGUUUUAUAAAUUAGUAUAUAAGUAUAUCUAUAUAUAUUGUAAUGUAUAUAUAAUGUAGUAUAUUUUAUAAGUAGUAGUAUAUAUACAUUGAAUGGUGCGUAUACACAUGUAUAUAUCUUUUAUUGAAGUGUAUAUUUAACGUAUACAUGGUAUAUGUUUUAUAAAUUAGUAUAUAAAGUAUAUCUAUAUAUAUUGUAAUGUAUAUAUAUUGUAGUAUAUUUUAUAAGUAGUAGUAUAUAUACAUUGAAUAGUGCGUAUACACAUGUANNNNNNNNNNNNNNNNNNNNNNNNNNNNNNNNNNNNNNNNNNNNNNNNUGUAUAUUUAACGUAUACAUGUGUAUAUGUUUUAUGAAUUAGUAUAUAAUUAUAUCUAUAUAUAUUGUUAUGUAUAUAUAUUGUAGUAUAUUUUAUAAGUAGUAGUAUAUAUACAUUGAAUGGGGCGUAUAUAUGAGUAAUUGACUAAUUGUGUAUAUGUGUAUAUAUAUUUUAAAUUCUAAUGUAGUAUAUACUAUAUAUAUAGUGUAUAUAUAUUAUUUAACGUAUUUAUAAUGUAUAUAGGUGGGUAUAUGUAAUGUAUAUUGAAAGAAUUUUUUUUUGACCGGGUUUGACCUAUUUUUUAACCCAAUUUGAUCGGGUUUUGGUGGGUUUGACCGAGUUGGGUUAAGUGGGCCAGGUUAGGGUGGAUUUUAAUUUUUUUAUUGUUUGGCACGGCCCGGCGCGGCCCGACCCGUCUAGCCAAAACCGACCCUCAACCCGGUUAAAAUAGAAGGGCCGAUUCCAAAUUAGCCCGGCCCGACCCGUUUGACACCCAUAGUGUUUCUUUUAGUUUUAGCACUUACGUUAUGUGUACUUUCCUGUUUGAAGCUCUCGUCAAUCCAGAUUUAACGUAGUGUUUCACUUAUUCCCUUUCUAAUGACAGAUUCAAAAUUUUUAUUUAGGGUGUUAGAGAUAUAAAGAAGUAAACAUAAAAUUUAAUCGAUGAGGUUUUUUUUAGGGUUUUUGUUCUGGUUUUCUUACUAUAUUUAAGUUUUACUUUUUCUUAGAAGGAAAAUAAAAGUUACCAUAAUUACUCUUAUUUUUUCUGAAAGAAAAAAUAUAAUUCUUUUCCAUAUUUGGCUAACCUCUUUAUUGGAGGAAAAGUUUUGGACAUCUAUAAAUAGAAGACCGCUUCUCAUACCAUAACAUAGUAGCAUGCACAAUGUAGUCGUUAAAAGAGUUUGGUUUAGAGAUUUCUCCCAUAGGUUUAUGUUUUUACUAUUAGUUUUUAUAUGUAGGUCGUUUGGCCAAACCAUAUUAAUAGUAUAUUUUUUGUAGCCUAAUUUAUCAUCUUAUGAUUUGCAAAGUAAAAGCUUUCGCAUGACUUCCUCUCGAUUUCGAACCCAACAGGUUUGACUUAUAUUAUGCAUACAUAAAAAAGAAUAUUUCAAUCAUACAUAUAUAGUAUACUUUUUGCCGACUAUUCGAAUUAAAUCUGACCCCAAGCUAGCUCCCUUCUUAUCCCCUGCCCUCUUGUUUAGUUAAGUCUUUAUUUUUAUUUAAUAUUAAUUUCAUAUUCUCCCUACUCCUAUUUUAUUUUGUUAGUGUAUUGAUAUUAUUGGAUAAGAUAUAGUACUGUAGUAUAUUUUUGUGGAAAACUUACACGUAAAUAUACCGUUUAAAUCAUCGUUUUAAUUAGCCAAACAAAUCUGAUCCAAAAUAAGCAACGGUCUACCAAAUCGAGAAAGUAUUAAUUUUUUGAAAGUCUUGCUCUGCAUAUUUCUGGUUAAUUUUCUUGUUUCCAAGUGAAAGUAUGAUUAAGUAACACCUAGAGAAAUAUUUAACGUUACGAAAUACGAGACAACAGAGAAAAAAUGGCACACUUGCCAAUUGCUAUUAUCAUGACAUUCAUAUGGAAGCUUGAAAAUAAUACAUAGUUUUAUUAGCCCAAAGCUUAUCAUCUUAAUCUCUGAUAAAUAACACCUAGAGAAACAUUUAACAUUACGAAGCUCAGGAAUAUCUUGAUAAUUGUGAUUUAUUAAUUUAAUUAAGUUGAAAGAACUUGUCAUUUUCUUAUCUUUAAUUAUUCAAGUUUAAUAUGCAAAGUGCAUGGAAACAGGAGAAAAGUUCAAAACAAACUAAAGGGCUCUCUCAUUUUCACUUGCAAUAUAAAGUAUAAAGCUUACGUAUUAUAGCUUUUUAAACAAUUUUUCAACAUACUACUAUACUUCGGUAGAGAAAUUAGAAAUUUCGUUAAGAGUGUUCAACUGACCGUCCUUUGAUCUACGUACCUAUGUCAUUGCUAUCGUUGAGUCGAUAAUUACCUCACCGCCUUUGAUGCGUUUAUUUUAAAUUUCACAAAUGAUUCAUGAAUGUCUACCAAAACAUCAUCUAAGUAAAUUAAAAAUGGUAUGACGUUAAAGAAGAAAAACAAAAACGUAAAGAAUUUUCAAUCAAGAACAGAGAAUAUAUAAGGAAUAAUAUAUAUAAGGAAUAAUUCGAUUUACACAAGUUGUAAUGAAACCUCUUCGUAGAAAAUCCAACAACAGAAAUAAGUAAUCCUUUUGUGAAAAUUCUAACUUUACCACGUAUAAAAAUAGUAGGUUUAUCGGUGUAAAUUGUGUAAAGAUAGCAAGCAUGAACGAAUUGUAUUAUUUCUGAGAUAUACAAGUAACAAGUAAACUACCAAGGUGUAAAUGGUGUAAAGAUAGCAAGCAUGAACGAAAUGUAUUAUUUCUGAGAUAUACAAGUAACAAGUAAACUACCAACCAAAUGAUCUGGUGUAAUGGAUGAGACUGCCCCUCACUUAAUCAGAGGUUUCGGAUUCGAGCCCUGGUUAUGAAAAAAUCCUUGGUAGGGAGCGCUACUCCAGAAUGGGGCCCUAUCCAGUGUGAAUUUGGAUUAGUCAAACUCCAAUGUGGGUACCGAACAGAGAAAAAAAUUUAAACUAGACAUGCAUAGUGUGAAAGUUAUUUAUUUAUUUAUUUUGCAAAAUUAAAAUUGACAUAUUCUUCCAUCUGACUAAACCUUAGCAACUGCUUAUGAAAAUUAGACAAACUCUGAUAUUUUGGCUGAAAUAGAACUUGCAGUUGUCAGCCAGCAUUUCUACUAUAGUAGUAGAAUUUUUUUACAGUAAUUUAUUUAUUUUUCUGUUUCACAUUCUCUCAUGCUUCAAUUUUUUUGACUCAUUAGCCAAAAAAAUAUUUGUUGAGCCCCAAAGAGAACUGAACCUCGAAAUUCUAGUAAUUUAGUCAUAAGUGUAGGUGUUUGCUGGGUUUUGUUUUUAGGGUUCAGUUUCCAAUAAAAACUUACAGCUACAGACAGAGAGCCUGCAGAACCUUACAACCUAUACAUUUUUUUAAUGUAUUCUUUUUUGUCUGUCAUGUUGUUUUCUUUUUCCUCUCAACUGUCUUGUCUCUGAAACUCUCUUUUUUUAUCUCGAGUGCCCUACUAUGCUUACCUAAAAGUCUUCUCCGUUUUAUUUACUCCCACCGUUCGAAAAACAGUAGCAAUUUAAACUUUUUAACUUAAUUUUAAAAGAUAUUUCUUACAUUUUUUUAUUAAUAUUAUAAUUCUAAGUUUAUUUAUAACAUAUUUAAGAUAAUAGAAUUAAAAAAUAUUUUAAUAUACUUGAUAUAACUUAAAUUUAAGAUACUACUCCUAUAACUUAUCUCACCAUAUUCUUUGAAUUUGCUAAAGAAGAAAAACAUUUCCUAUCAACGUCAGACUAUAUAUCUAUUCUUGAAUAUAAUGCAAAUUCAAUUGCAGGGAAAUUUUAUUUUUUAAGUUGUGUCUAAGUACAUUUAAUUAUGAGCAUUAUGAAUGCAUUUAGUAGGAAGGUAAAGCAAAAAAUUCUUUUUAUGUGUGGUUGGAUGAAUUUUAAAAAAAAUAUUUUUCUCUAAAAAAGAUAAAUUUUUUUUGAAAAUGAGAAAAAUGACCUUCUUAAUGAUAAUAGAGAAAGUUUCACAAGAUAUACUUUGUAUUUAUUAUAUCCUUCCACACAUUUUAUGCCUGCAAUCACUACGGCCUGACCUCCACCUCGAGACCCCACACACUACCUUUAAAUAUUUUUGAGAUAAUAUUUCUUUAGCUUACUUAUCAAACGUUAAAAAAUUAACAAGUAAAAAGAUAAUUAAUUUUUCAAGAAAAACAUUUUCGUUCAAAAAUAUUAUCCUGCAUACCGUUCACAUCCUAUCUCUUUUAAAGAAAUAUAAUCAAAACACAAUUAAAAUUUCAUAAUUUUCAAAAAAGUGAAAAAUAUUUAAAAGCUAUCGCCAAAUACAUACCACUACCAUUCGUUACAGACUUACAAUUUUUUGUUUGUAUAUCCUUUACAUUAUUUUCCUGUUAAAUGUAAUAUUUUUCUAUAUUAUCGUAAUUUUUUUUGUUAAUUACUAUUUUGCUUUAUUUCACUUGAGACAAGUAUUUUUUAAAAAUAGCCUUUAUAUAUUUAAAAGAGAGAAAAUAAGGGCAUAACCACCCUUCAAAUUUACCCUCAAAAUAUCGAAAAUCGCUAUAUUUGAAGAACACUAACCUUCAAUCCACAACUCUAUUUUACAUCUCUAAAAAAGAAUCUUCUAUUCUUUCUCUAAAAUUUUAUUAUUAUUUUUAUUUUAUCUAUAUUUUUUUUAUUUCAAAAAUAAAUUCUUUUAUUUUUUAUUACAUAAUCACCUUUAAAAUGCAUGAUCUUUUCAAAAUCUUCAUGUAAUACAAAAUUAUUUUUUUUCAAAUUUUUUAAAGAACAUAAAUCGCAAGCAAUUAUUAUAUAUUAUUCAUAUUAAUAAACAACGUAAAUAAAAAUGAAAUCCUUGAUGAAAUACAAUUAAAAAUAUAUUAGAUUAUGAUAAAAUUUAUUUUAAUUUCUACAUAAGUAAUUUAAUUUUCAAGAUUAUUAUGUUGUUCCCAAAAAUCUUCUAUUAAUGCAUUACAAAAUUCACAAUGAGCAUUUUUGUUCUUAAUUUUUCUUUUAUGUCUAGCUAAGGUUUGUUCAAAUUUUAAAAAUAAAAAAAUAUUAACAUAGUAAAAGUCUUUCAUUAGAAAAAUAAUUACGAAUAUUAGAGACUUAAUUAAUGAUCUUAUAUGAUUUAUAAUUUAAAAUGUUAUAAUAUACGCAAUAUAAUACUAAUUAAAAUUAAAAAAAAGGGAACACUAUUCACCACUUCAAAAUAAAGGGUGGUCGGAGAUGGUCAUCCUCUAAAUUUCCCUUCAAAUGUAGAAUUUAGAUAGUACUAUUUGAUGGGUAGUUUGAGAUGGUGUGAUUAUGUUGUUGUUGAAAUGUUUAGGGGUUAUUUGAUACGGUGCAUAAGAAUAGUAUAAAGUAUUAUUCUCUUCAUUUUUAAAAAAUAAUUUAUUUUUUUUAAGCCGUUUUAAAAAGAAUAACUCUUUUUACUUUUGAGCAAUAAUUCAAUUUCAAUUUUUCAAAUGACAUGUUUAGGACCACAAUAUUAAAGGAUAUUUUGGUACAUUUGAUAUAACUUUAAUUUAAAGCCACAAAAUUCAACAGUCUUCUCUAUUUUCUUAAACUUUGUGUCAAGUUAAAGUAGAUCAUUCUUUUUAAAACGGAUGAGUAUAUAUUAAUAAUAAUACAUUAAUAAUGCUUGUAUUAGUUAUGUUUGCAUUGGUUAUGUUUAUAUUUUUUUUUGUACAACGUUUGAUUCGAUAUAUUAAAAAUAACACGAAUUGCAUAAUUUUUAAUUUUUUUCACAAAAAUACCACUUAUAAAUAUGAUAGAAAAGAUGUGAAACUGAUUUUGAGGGAUAAUUAUUAUUUUAACUAUGCCAAUACAAGCAUUAAAAUUCAUUACAUUACUAAUAUCAUAAAUUUCUAUGUGUUAGUAAUACACUCCUUAAUAAUAAAUAGAAUGUAUAACUAAUACAAAUACUAAGAAAUCAUUUGAUUGAGUGUAUUAAAAAAAAUAAUGCAAGUAUUAUUUUUGUGUACUACUAAUACAUUAUUUGAUACACUUUUUCAUCCUAUGUAUUACUAAUGGUUGUAUUAAUUAUACGCUGCAUUUGAUAUUAAGGAGGGCAUUACUAUUACAUUAAAAAUUCAUGGUGUUAGUAAUGCAAUGGAUUCUAAUGUAAAGGGUGUUAGUAAUGCAAUAGAUUCUAAUGCAUACAUUAGUAUGCUUAAAGACGCAAUUAUUACUCGAAAACUUUUAUACAUCUUUUCCAUUCUAUUUAUGGAGGAAUUUCUUGUGAUUUUUUUUGUUAUUAGAAAUUUUUUAAUAGGUAUUAUUUUUAAUAUACCAAAUCAAACACUGUAUAAAAAACUGCAAGCAUAACUAAUACAAACACAUAACUAAUGCAAAUAUCACCGAUACAAACAUUAGUAAUAUCAUAUUUUACAUCAUUCUUAUAAACUCUACCAAACAACUUCUAAUAAUACAUGAGAUAAAAAGAUAGUAUAUCAAAUGAAUAUUAAUAAUAGAUAAAGCUAAUACAAACAUUAUUUUCUUAAUACAGUGUACUAAACGAUUCCUUAGGAGUUGUUUGGUUGGAAAACAAUUAUCCUGAAAUAACUCGGAGUUAGUUAUCCACCAUGUAUAUACGAUAACUUAUCCUAUUAUUAUAAUAUAAAUAGUAGAAUAAAUAAUUUCGAUACUAACUAAUACUUCAAAUAAACAUAAGAUAAAAUAAUAUUUUAGUUUAUCACAAAACUAUUUAUCUAUUAUACCUCACACCGAAAUAGUACCUCUUAAAGACCCGUUUGGUAGGAUGGACUAUUUUUAUAAUCCAUGGAUUAAAUGGUGGGAUUAGUUAAUAUAUUGUUUGGUAGCAAUUUUGAAGCUAUGUAUAACUAAUACAUGGAUUAGUUAUACACCCUACAUGGUAUUAUAGGGUGUAUAACUAAUACACCCAAUUUGGGGGAUUAGUAAUCCAUGAAUUACAAUCCAUGGAUAAAUAUGUGUCAAGACAAAAAUGUCCCCAAAUUUCUUUAUUUUUUUUGAAAAAUCUUUUCAAUUUAUUCAAUUUGAGUUAUUUCUUUUCAAUUUAUCAAGAUAAUAAUAUCCCUUCAAAUAAUUUUAGUCAUAAAAAAACUACUCCAUUAACUUAAAAAAUACUUAUUGAUCAAAAUUCAAAAAUAAAUUGCAUACAAGUUUUAAUUUUGUAAAUAAAAUAUUUAUAAAUAAAAAUAAUUUUUCUACUUAGUUUUAACACUUUACGGAACACAAAUUUAUGUUAAUAAUAAUUCUAUUAUUUUAUUCAAAAUUUAUACGUAUCUCCCUCCAACGUAAGAACAUCAAAAAGUGAAAACAACAAAUAAAUGAUGAACAAAUAAAGAAGAGAUAAUUUUUUUUUUACAAGUGAAUGAUUGAAUCUAAAAAUUCCAAAGUAAAUAAUUAUUUAUAUUUUUACUUUUUUUUUUAUUUUAAAAAAAGAAUAAUAAAAUUUUACAAAGAAAAUACAAUAAAGUUAUAAUAUGUCAAAGAUAUUUUUAUAAACAAACAAUAUUUUUUUUAAAGUAUAAUAAUACAUAUUGUUUUUAAUACAUCAAAUCAAAUACUGCAUAAAAAAUAAUUUCAGUAUUACUAACCCCCUUAUUAUUAUCCAUGCACUAUUAAUUCUAAUAUUACUAAUAUAACCUAUUCAGUAUUAUCUUACACACUCCGCAAAACCAACCCUAAAAGUACAAUUUGGUUUGUAUUUAUUGCCUUGUUGGUGGUAAAAUAAAGGGAUGAUAAGACAGUACAAAAGACUUAACUUUGCAGGUUUCCCCGCACUCUACACACUGCAAAAACAUAUAUAUAAAAAAAAAGAAAAAGAAAGGGUCCACUAAACUCACUGCUACAAUAAGCUUUUUCAAACUCUCUUCAUACUCCCCACUACCCACCCACCCCCACGCCCACCCCCACUUAUAUGCACAUUAAUAUUCUUCUUAUCAUACUCCAACUAGCAGCAGUUCCUCUAAUACUGUAAAACCAAACUAAAAAACUAUGGACUUCAAUCUGAAGCAACAGGAUGAUGAGUCACUUACAACAACUCAUCACCAUCAUCCUGCAAAGUUACCUAAACUUGUUCGUGACUUUCAGUCUGUUGUGUCUGCUUCUACUGAUUCUGCACUUCCAUUGUUUGUCUCUCAACCAACAUCAACAACUACUACUACUAACAAAUUGUUGUCAGAUUCAACAACAACUGCCACCACCAAAUUUACCAGUAAGUUAGAUAUAGAAUUAGACGCCCUUUUCAACUUCCAUGUUCAGAUUUUUAGUUGUUGAACAUACUAAUGAUUCUCUUUUUUUUUUUCUUCUACUUGAAUUAGACACCCUUUAAAUUUCUUGUUUUUCAUGCUCCCAAGUUCAGAUUUUUAGUUGAUUUACAUACUAAGUAUUAAAGAUUCUUUUUUUAACACUUUAUAUAUUAGACACCCUUUUUAAGUAUUUUUUUUUUAGCUUCCAAGUUCAGAUUUUGAACUGAAAAUCUUAGCAGUGCAGUCGGUUGACUAUCUGAACUUACACUUUAUUGGUGACAGUUUAGUUCUCCACUCUCUAGUUAUUUCUCUUUUCCUACCCUAUAAAAAGUACAGAUUUUGAGUGGUUCUACAUAUUUAAGAUUCUUUUUUUUAUUGAUUUGUUGAAUUAGAUUUAGACACCCUUUUCAACUUUCUUGUUUUUCUUGCUUCUAAGUUAAGAUUUUGAGCUGAAAAUGUUAGUAGUUGAACGUUCACUUUAUUGAUGAAGAUUCAUUAACACCUUGUCGUUCCCUCCCUUUCCCUGACCCAUUAAAAUAAAUUCAGAUUUUGAGUGGUUGUACAUAUAUUAAAUUUUUUUUUUUUUUUUUUUUUUGGCUUUCUUCAAUUAGAUUCAAAUUCCUUGUUUUUCUUGAUUCCAACUUGAGAUUUUGAGUGUAAAAUUAUAGUUGUUCAGUUAUUGGUGAUGGUUCCAUUUCCCACCAUUGUAAUCUCAUUUUGAGUUGUUGUAUAUAUUAAAGAUUUAUCUUUUGUGAUUUCUGAAUUAGACACCAUUUUUUAAGUUUGUAGUUUUUCAUGCUUCCAACUUAAGAUUUUGAGUAGUUGUAUAAAGAUUCUCUCUCUUUUUGUUUCUGGUUUUCUUGAUUCAGGGAUUGGGAGUGGUUACUUCAGCUUGGCACAGUGGCAAGAACUUGAACUACAGACUCUGAUUUUUAGGCAUUUUAUAGCUGGUGUCUCUGUUCCUCCUGAACUACUUCAUCUUGUUAAGAAAAGCAUCAUCACUUCUCCUCCUUCAUAUUACUAUUCUCAUCCCUUUCAACAGUAUCCUCCUCACUACCAACAAGCCUGUAAGUUAUUUUUGGUUUCUUGUUUUAAGUUCACUCUUCAUUGUGUGCUUAGUUGUUGGAAAGUUGCUAUCUUUUUUGUUCUAGUAUUCUUUUUUAUGUCCAUAGUGGAAACCUAACAUGUUCUUUGAUUUCUGUUACUCCUUGAGCCGGAGGGUUUAUUGGAAACGACCUCUUUGUCUCCUAUGGUAGGGUUAAGGUCUGCAUACACUUUACCUCUCUAGACCCCACUUGUGAGAUUGCACGGGAUAUGUUGUCGUCUUCAUUUUUAAUCUGUGUGUGUUGACUCUUUUGCUGUUUUCUUGGUCUUUGAACUAAGAAAAAUAAAAAAAUGAAUCACAAAGUUUUGUUUUUGAUCUGCAUUUCUUAGUCAUUUGCCAAAAUUUUUAGAAGCACAUGUCAAUCACAGUAUAAUAAUAUUAUUUCCCUAUGACUUUUUGGACCAAAAAAACAAAACCAAAUGACUGUGUUAAUGUCUUGAUGUGGUUGAUAAGUACUCUUGGUUGAUUCUUACAAGCUUAGGUUAAGGAGCUUAAUUGAUACUAUGUACUUCUUCUGUAUUCCAAGAAUUUCUGACUUUUAUUUUGUUGUAUCUGAAAAAAAGCUAUAAAUGAUUUUUGAAUUAAGAAUUUAUAAAUUGUUAAUUAACCUAAAAUGUAAUACAAUUACAACAACAACUACAUCAAACCCAGUGUAUUCUCACAAAGUGAGGUCUGGGGAGGGUAAUAUGUACGCAGUCCAUACCGCUAUCUCCGAAGAAGUAGAGAGGCUGUUUCCGAUAGACCUAAAACGUUAUACAACUAACAGUCAAUAAAGAAGGCUGGUUACUUGCUACAACAUUUUAAAAUAUUGCAGAAGUUUGUGGCUAUGUUGUUCAAACCCUCGAGAAAUGAUACUACACUAGUGUCACAUCCUCAAACAAUGCGUAGUUUUUGGAGGAUUCGAUACAUGCUGGACAAAUUUCUUAAAGAAUUCAAGCAAAAUAGAAUCAUCCCUUCACCCUCGAUUAGAGAUCUUGGUUCAAGCCUUGAAAAUGAUAUAAAUCUUGUCAAACAACAUUUUCCUCUAUAAUAUGCCUUACAUGGCAUGAAUGCAUAUUAGUCGAGUCAGUGGGCUUCAUAUACCAAAUGCUUAUAUCAAGAAGGCAUGUUUAAACACACUGAUGAUGCAAAUAUUCUUUAAGUGUCUCAUGUACAUUUCAUUUAUAUUUUCUACUCGACCUCCAAGAUUAACUAAUUAACGAUAAUAUGAAAUUCUCUUGAAGUGAUGCAGUCAGGGUACUGGGGAAGAGGAGCCAUGGAUCCAGAACCAGGGAGGUGUAGGAGGACUGAUGGGAAGAAAUGGAGGUGUUCAAGGGAUGUAGUGGUUGGCCAGAAAUACUGCGAGCGCCACGUUCAUCGUGGCCGCAGCCGUUCAAGAAAGCCUGUGGAAAUUCCCACACCUGCCAACAAUGGCAGUAAAAACAACAACAAUACUGUUUUUCAUCAUCAAGCCUUUGAAAAAAUGGCUAGUCAUGCUCCUCAUUUUUCUCUAUCUGGACAUUCACCUUCAACUGAUGCAGCUCUUCAUCUCAACCAAAGGUACAUUCACCUUCCAAUGCAGAAUUUCGUAUGUUCUGAGCUUAACACGUGAUAUAAAGUUAGUUAUUUGUUGCCCCGAAGACUGUCGCCUAGUGGCCAAUUGAGUGACUUGAGAAUUAUGUGGUCUCACGAAGCAAAAAAAUUAUGUUUGCUCGGAUUCUUUAAAAAUGUCGACGGGUGUGUGUCGGAUACUCCAAAAGGAGUGCAUUUUUGGAGGAUUCGACAUGUGUGUGACGGUGUGAGUGUGACAUCAUUUUUGAACAAUCCGAGCAAUAUAAGCAAAAACACUAGGUGAAUUGUUUUCCAACCGUCUACGCCCUAUAGAAUAGAGUUAUUCAGUACUUGGUGUGUGAAGCUAGUCCGGACACUACAGUUAUUAAAAGAAAAAAAUAAGAAAAGUAGCCAGUUACUCCAUAAAAAGUAAAAUUAUUAACUUGUCACAUUACCUAUUCUACUAUGGUGUUCAUUUAUUAUAUCUGCAUUUUAAUGCUUUUCAUUUCUGCUCUUUCUUUUUUGUUUUUUUGGGAGAAGAAAAAGGCAAUAUUGGAGGUUAAGUAUCUGUUCUCUAUUUAAUAGUGAGUGAGUGGCUUUUUAAUCUAGUGAAUAUACACACUACUUUAUUUGGCCCCUUUUUUCAGAAAUCAUUAUUCUUUCUAUAAAUACUUCUUAGCACUAUAACUUAUUUUUCAGAGCAAAGUGUUUGUGCAGAUACUACUUUUUUUCACUGUUAGAAUGACAAGAAGUUCAAUUAUGCAUUAAAGUUUUGAACUUUUGCUUUUUUUUAUUAAGGGGCCAACAAAUAUCCUCCAUUGGUUCUAUUUUUUCCACUACCUCCUAAAAAGAGACAUCUUUGUGUAAGUUGAAACUUGUCUCCCAAUAGGGAGAAAAUCUAAAUUAAAUCUUGAUCAAAGGGUUACUUCUUCUCCAAAUUCCUUUUUCUUUUCUUUUUGACUUGUAGGUGUGCAUGGUCCACUUAUUGUAUUUUUCUUGGAUAUUUAGAAUCUAUUGAAGAUAUUCUCGUCCCACUUCCAUUUUCUUUGUAGGAACCCUACCUUUGAUAUUUUUGGGUUUUCUCUGGCAGGGAGCCCACUUUUUGGGAUCAUAACAGUUUGUCAGGUGAUUAAAAACUAAGUUGCUCGGACUCUCCAAAAAUGUGGCUGCACCCGUGUCGGAUCCUUAAAAAAUGCACUACUUUUGAAGGGAUCCGAUACGUACCCAAUGUCAUUUUUGAAGAGUUCGAGCAACAUAGAUUGAAAAUAAGAAUUAACUUAACUAACGUCUCACCCAACUGUUUAAACUAAAAGUAGUCAAUGAACAUACUUUAUACGCAUAAUGUAUGUAUAACAUGUAAAUAACAAUGUUUAGUCGAUGUGUAAUCUAUGUAUUGCCGGUUGGGAAAAAAAUAGAAUGAAUCUAGCUAGUUAUUUGUGUAAAAAUACCUAAAAAUAUUCACCCCCUAGUUAUGAUUAUUUGUACUAUAAUUUGUGUAUAUUCAAUGUAUAACGAGUGCUCCUCCCGUUUCAUGUUAUGUGAAGGUGUUACUGUUUGCACUUUGCAGAGUGAAAUAGUUUUUCCUAUGACUGCAACUUUUUCAACUUUUUUUAAAAAUAUUUUGGAUCGUUAACCAUUGAAUAUCUAUACCCGAAGUUAUUGUCAAGUGUUCUGAACUGUACUCUGAAUCUCUUUCACAUAAAUUGCAAUAGAAGGAUUAUAUUUGUCUGAUAACUUUAUAAUCACGGAUUAUAUUUAGAGUAUACAAUAAUCAUAUUGGCUAAAAUUUCUAAAUAUAGAAAAGAAGAUUCAACUUAAAGGCCCCUUGUGUACUAGAUGUUUUUUUACAGCUUUUUUCUUCAAUUUGUUCCCUGCUUGAUUUGGGCUGGGCUGUCAAUGAUGUUGAUUUGUAGGCCAUUGGAGUCCACCAAAAAGGGUCCACCAUUUGAAGCCCAAAAAGAUGAUGGUAAAUCAUCCAAUGGCCAAAUUCUGCGCCAUUUCUUUGAUGAUUGGCCUAGACAACUUCAAGAAGGUGACAAUGCUGCCACCAGUCUUUCCAUUUCGAUGCCCGGUAGAGGGGUCGGGGGCGGUAACCCCUCGUCUGACUUCUCGUUGAAGCUAUCAACGGGGAAUGACUAUGACUCAGGGCCUCAUCAUGUCAGUAAUGUUGAACGGUCUACGUGGGGAACGAGUCAUCAAGUGGCCUCAAUGGGUGGGCCACUUGCCGAGGCCUUAAGGUCAUCGACUACUAACUCGUCCCCCACUAGCGUGUUGCAUCAGUUGGCACGAGGUACCACGUCGGACGCCAGCUAUAUUAGCACUUGAUUAUUUUUCAUGACAGAUGUUUUUGCACUUUGUUGCUUUUAUUUUCUUGUUGGUGUUGUUGUUCAUUGUUCUUUUUGUUGCAUUCACUAACUAUCAGCUGUACAAAUUUGCAUGGGAUGUGUGGUGUGUUUAUUAUUGGUUUUGAGUUAAUACCAAAGGUGUGCAUUUGGUGAACUUCGCUAUUAUUUUUGCCGAUCGAUCAAAUAUUUAACUUAACUCUUAACAAUUAAGUUCACUUUAACUUGGCCUCAUGUCCUAGUAUUUUUACAAACGGGUUCACUUUUUAUAAUUUUACCACUGUACGUGUUACAUUUUUAAAAUUAUGGGUUCAAACGGUAAUAUAUAUGGAUUUUUUGAUAAAUUUUCUUAAUUAUUUAAGCUCUGUAUUAAAAGUACUGGAUUCAUCGCUAUUGCAGACGGCGAACAAAAUGUUUGACACUUUGGUAUUUAUACCGUGUCAAUUAAUUUGAGUCGAAGAGACAAAUUAAAGUGAUAAUAUUAUGUAAUUAAUCGUUGUUAAAUGGUGCAUACAAUUUUCAGUCAGGAUGAUUGAGAAAGAUUCAAUCCAUUUAAGCUGCUCACAUUAGAAAAGUAGUAGUGUAAAGGUCGUAAGUCAGGGGUUGGCUAUAACGUAAGGCUAUUACUUUCACAUAUUUUUCUGUAUGAGAGAGUAAUCCGUUGUGUGAGCAAUCCGACUAUACCUUAUAUGUGUUUUAUAGGCCGCACAUAAUUUUUCUUCCCAACGAGCCUUCCUUUUUUUAAUUUGGAUGAUACAAUCCAAAUAUGCUUAGCGAUAUUAUUUUCAGUUUGUUGGUGUAAAUAUCAAAUACGAAUAAAUACUUUUUUUGUAUAUAAUUUAGCACCAACUUGAAACGAGACUUUCAUUUCUAUAAUUGUUUUUUUGGUACAUAAUGUACACUACUUACAAUUUACAAAGAGUUGCACAUAAUGUAUCUUCAUGGAUUAACAAAUUCUGAAGGCUUGUGACAAGCUAAUUGUGAAAAAUUCUUUUUGUAUCAAAUCACUUAGAUAUAAAAUAAUGAUAUAUGGAAAAGAAAUACCCCAAUAUAUUUUUUCCUUCUCUUUUUUGUAUAUACAAAAGAUAUAGUUGAGACCCAUUGAGAAGAUGAGCGUACAUUAGAUGAUAUCAUCACGAUUCGUCUUUUUGUACCAAUAGAGACGCUUAACGACAUCAUGCCUAUAAAUAUUAUAUAUUAAUCCAAUCAUUUUCCAGAUUUUAAUUACAUUGAAUUUAUUUGAAAUAUUUUCUCCGAAUCUGGAGACAUUUUUCUUUACAAACAUUACAACUUUACUCCAUAUAACUUGAUUCAGACAACAUUUGGACAUAUUUUGCUGACAUUUUAUGCAUAAAUAUAAAAUCAAAAUAUUAUUAUUAUCCUUAUACUGUACGUAAGUCGGCCCGCAGAAACAACCACUAAUGGCUGUAUUAUACUUUUUCUGGUUCGAUGCUUGCUGCUAAGUGCUAACACAUGAUUAAUAUCAGAUUUGGUGAGACGUCUAAAUUUCUUGAGUGAUUGCGUACGUCAAACAUCUUAUUUUCUCGUCGAUUAUUUUUUGAUGAGUAAUAGUUAAUCCUUUGAUGUUUGUUUUGUUGUAGCGAACAAAUGACGUAUUUUGACACCCAAAAUUUUAAAAUUUUAUUUGAGAGCUAAAACAUUUAUCUAUCUUCUUCGUUUCCUGGGUGUUUUUCUAAGUCUUAUAUCAAUUUUUAUAUAAUUAUAUCGAAUUUAACGGAUGUCGAAACACCCCAAAAUUGGCCUUAGUUCCUCCCCUUCAUCCGAUUCUAAUGUCUUUAGACUCCCUAAAAUUCAUCUGAGUUCUGAACUAUUUUAGCACCAAUAGUGCUUCCCUGCAUUUGUUAAUUCAAAUUAAUGAACUAAAAUUAUACUAGUUGAAUACUAACUGGAUAGUUUUGUACUCCCUCUCUCCCAUUUUACCCGUCCCAAAUUUCCUAAUUUGGUGUUCCAUUUUGCUUGUCCUUUUUACUUAUCAAAACAAGACAAUUUUUUUUUCCAUAUUUUACCUUUUGCAUUAAUUACUUUUUCUUUAAAUUAAAAUAUAAACAUCAUUUAACAGGGGUAUUAUGGUAAACUAGCCAUAUUAUUUAUUAUUUUUUUUAAUAGCUGUGCCAUCCCAAUUUGAAACGAGUAGAAUGGGACGAGGGAGUAGUUAAAAAUAGCACAAUUUUCGAUGAUGAGUGUUCAGAAAUAAUUAAAAUCUAGUACUAGUAAUUUGUUUUUUGCCUUUCUCUUAAAUGAAUCUUUUAACUUUUCCUGUUUAUUUUUAAUGAAAUUGUUGUGUAUUCAUGACAGUUUGCUUCUUCUAAUUCUUUUCUUAUAGUCUUAUAAUUUUAUUAGAUGAUAAUGGCCUUGCUAUUACGAACCAAUAUGAUGCAAUUUAUUAAUAUGUUUUAUCAAAACAAAUUAAAUGUUAAUUAGGAGAAUUUUAAUUCUUUUUUUUUAAUAAAUUGUAUUUAGAAUAUAACAUACUCGUUCUAAAAUUAUAUAAGUGUUAGUUUAUAGGAAUUGUAUAUUUAAUCAAACAUUGAAUGGUUUGGUUUGCAUGUAAAAUAAUAAUUACUAUACAUUAAUUAUUUAAUAGUGAAUUAUGUUUAUUUCUCAUAAAUGUAGUGGUUAUUAUAGGAAAGCUCGAACAAAAUGAAAUAUAUGUAGUAGUAAUUAUCGAGAAUUCGAUUUCAAAUUGAACAAUUUAUUAGCCUAUGAAUUUGCUAUUAUACAACUCAUUAGUUGUUUUCUUGCAUUUCUUUUUACUUAAUUUAUAUUGAUUUGAUAUAUAUCCAAGAAAAUAUUUGUUAGCCUUUUAUUUUAUUAAAUAUUUAUUUUGACAUGAAAUAUUCAGAACAAAUAUUAACUUAUUUGAUAAAGUUAAUAAAAUAUUUUAAUUUAUUUGAUAAAAUAAGCAACAAAUUAUUACACUUGGCAAACAAUCUGUUUAAUUUUAUAAAGCAACUUAUUUGAUAAAAUAUUUGUUAAUAUUAUUAUGUCACUUGACAAAGAAUCUGAUAAAAAGCCAAAAUUGGCCCACAUAUUCAGAAAAAUACUACACUCUUCAUGGGAUAUAGAAAGAAAGACACAGGUGUACGUGUCAAAUAAUGUUACCGAUUUAAUGUUACGACAAAUAUAUGUAAUUUCAAAGAAAAGUAUGGACUUUUUAUGAAGUCGUAGAUAAGGUUUAAGUAAUACACCCUCCGUUUCAUUUUAGUUGAUCUUCUUUUUAAAAAUAUUUAUUUCAAUUUAGUUGUACCUUUUGAUAAAAUCAAGAGUAUUUUGUUAUGUUCUUUCAAUACUACCCUCAACAUUAAACGACUAAACAAAGUAUAUUUAUUCAAAUUUAUAUUUUCAAAACAUAAUUAAUAAGGCUAAUUUGGUAAAAUAGACCCCUAAUAAAUAUUUUAAGAGAGUGUCAAGUAAAAAAAAGGUCAACUAUUUUGAAACGGAGGGAAUACAACAAAAAGAAUUAAUCUUUUUAAAUAAGUUAAUCUUGUAGAAGACCUCACGCUUUUUACUUAAUUACUAUAAGCUAAGGAUCAAUAAUAUAUUAAAGAGAAGUGUAUUGUGGUAUCCCAUUUUCUAUGCAACUGGGGAAAAAAAUCAUGAUUUGAUUGCAAAUAUUCUAGCAGCAACACCUACUGAGUUGUGUUAAUGUUGAGAAAGGCAAAGAGUGCAGUAAGCUGUAAAGUUUGAUCAUAGUUGAUUUUUAUGUGCAUAAGUUGUUUAGUAUAUAAUUUUGAAUUAAUGACAUCUCAAUAAAAUUAUUGACUUAAAAAAUAAAUUAUUUUUACGUACAAAAAAUACACAUAAAAAUAAAAAUUAAGAGUUUUUUUUUUAAAUAUAUGUACACUUGUUUUAGUAUAACAAUAUUUAUAAAUGAUACAAAAAUUUUAAUUAAUUUCACAUAAGAAUGUUAUAAUUUAUAAAAGUAAGCAUUAAUUCUAUUUAAUAAGAUACUUAUCAUGUGUUUACAAUGCAUGAUCUUGAAUGUUGCUGUAAGAACUUUAUUUAUAAAUAUGAAAAUUUUAGUUUUUUAAUUUAAAGUUUUAAAAAAUUUCUGAUUAAAGUUUAAUAGUUUUUUACUUCCUUCUUUUGUUAUUUAAAUUUUGUACUUUUUCUAUA
This 53642-nucleotide long non-coding RNA is filed under the name Capsicum annuum. RNAcentral describes it as "long non-coding RNA (CANN_LNC016468)". The record is from RNAcentral. Lineage: Eukaryota; Viridiplantae; Streptophyta; Magnoliopsida; Solanales; Solanaceae.